AAAUUUUUAAAAAAAUAUAUGAACUAUUAAUAACAAUUUAAUUCACUUUUAUUUGUACUAAUACGAGAAAUAUAAUAAUAUUUUAUUAAAAUUAAUAUUUUAUAUAUAAUAAAUAUAUAUUAUUAUAUUAAUAAUAUUAUAUUUUAUUAUCGGUGUUGAUACAGUUUUUGUAUUUUAAUUUUUUAAAAGCUGCUGAGUCAUCGUAUCGGAGUCGUGUCCUAUCCUGUGUCCUAUAUCAAUGUAUGUGAAGCCUAGUAUAAAAGUGAUAGAUAUCUAGCGAAACUAAUUCGAAAAGAAGUUAAUAACUUGCAGGUUUGUGCCAUGAAAAGCUUGUUCCAGAUCUAGUCUAGCAUUAUUCCCCAAUCAGAUCCGUUUAGCGUACAAUUGCAUUGGACCACAAAAAAAAAAAUAAAAAAAAAUAAAAAAAAAAUAAAAAAUUUAUAUUCAACAUUAUUUCUUUAAAAUUGUAAAAUUAAUUAAUUCUAUAAAUAUUUUUGAAUUGAUUAGGUAGGAAGAAUCCAAAAUCUUUUAUAGGUCAUUUCAUCACCACAAUAAUCUCCGGACAACAUCCUUACGGCCUACGUUAUGGAUUUGUGCCCUAUCAGUGAAAUAAUUAAAUUAAUACAUUUUUGCAUUACUAUCAAAAGUAAGAUAACAUUAAUAAAUAAAAAUUUUAAAAAGAAACUAAUUAAUUAAAGAAUAUGCUUUUGUAAAACACGUUGUUCUCAGCCGAUUAAUUAUCAUAUAAAUUGCAUUGCAUGCAUUGUCACCUUUCAAAUCGUUUUGAGACGUACACUCUCCACCGUUGAGUGACGUGGUUGCUGUGGCUGCUGAGCUGACACUUGGUAAUUAAUUAACGUCUGAUCCAAAAUUCCAAAUUAUUACGGCGAAAUGUAUGGAAAGCCCCUCAAUUAUCAACAAGAAUAUAUAAAUAGCCCUCUCAGUUUUUUUUUUAAAAAAAAACUUGAUAUUUUCAUUUACUAUUAUGCUUUUAGAAAUUAAUAAUUUUAAAAAAAAUACAUUAAUAAUUUUAUUAUACUCAUCAAUAAUUAAUUAUAUCAAAUUUAAUAAUUUUAAUCAUCUUAUGCUCAAUAAAAUUAGAACUAGUAAUAAGUAAUAGUUUUUAAAAGUGCGAAAAUUUAAAACAAAUUUGUAUAAACUAACAUAAAAUUGAAGGAUUUAUUUUAAAAAUGCCAACGGGUUGAGGGGUCUCAUAUUUUUCUUUCGGGCUCACGUGUGCAUACUAUAGCCAUAAAAAGGUGAAGAAAAAAAAAAAAAAUCCAGAAUACAUCAGUUAUAUUACUAAUGUAUAUCAGCAAUCAAUCGGAUUAUUCACCUUAGAUUCAUCCGUCGCAUCAUAGUUAAUAGAAAAAUAUUUUUAUUAUACAUUUUACUUGAAAGAAAAAAUAUGACUAACUGUUAAUAGGUGAUAUAGUAUAAUAUGACCGGUGCCUAGUAAAAUUUAUGCAAAAAGAUUCAGGCUAAAAUUUUGUACUUACAUACAGAUCAAAUAUGUAUAUUUGAAUGAGUAAAGUUAGAAUACUUUGGAUAUUUAACAAUAUAAAAAAAUUUUCUCUUGAAGCAGAGCUUUGCUGUCUCACUCUAUAUAGUUAAAUUUAUUGUCUGAAUGAAUGAAGCAGAUAGCAUGUUAUUUUUUUCUCAAAAAAAUUAAUAUAAAAAAUUUACUAUUAAUUUUUUAGUCUUUGAAUGUCAAAAGUUUAGUAGUGAAUAGUGAUAGAUGGAAUAGUAUUAAUCUAAGAAGUGGAAAGUUGAUAAUAAAUAUAUAUUAUUCAUUUAUUAUUAAUAAUAUUUUAGUUUCAUUAAUUCAGACAAAUAUACUGAACCAAUGUAUAAGUACAAAUUUCAGGUCGGAGACUUAAUUUUGAAUAUAGUAAGGUAUCCGAAUUGAGGAUAGACAUAUAGACAUCGUUGAUCUUUUUUUUUUUUAUUUUGACUAAGUUGCUUGUUAUUAUCCAGCAACCUUGUAUUAUAGAUUAAUAAUCAAUUAUAACAAUAAAAACAUAUAUUCACCGCUAUAUCUAUUUAUAUAAAAUUUAUAUUUUUAAAAUAAAAUAAUUACUUAUAUACCUCUUAAAAUUUUGAAAAUAUCUUAUUCAUUCUUUUUUUUUUCUUUCAAAUAUAUCCCUUAUGUAUUCCUCCAUUAUUCCAAAAUAUUCCUACAGUUAUCAUCCGUUAAGUUAAUUUGAAUUAAACAUAAGUUAAAUAUCUAUCCGAGUUAAAAAAAAAUAAAAAUAACUUUCUUGUCCUUAACUUAAAAAUAAAUAAAAAAUAUUGAUAAUAAUAAAAAUAUAUAUUUAAAAUGCUCAAAAAUUAAAAUAUUUUUUACACUACUUAACCUAGUUAGCUUCGCCAAGAUAUGAAGGUUUUUUUUUUUUUUUCUUUUUGUAUAUUUGGUCUGUUGCCUCCUUAGCCGUGUGCUAUUAGGAGUACGGAGCCCUCCGUGCUCCUAAACGUUUUCGAUGAUAGAGCUUCCAAAUCGACGACCGGCUCUGUUAGAUUUGAUCUAGUGUAUUUGAAGUAUCUAAAAAAUAAAUUUUAUGAUUUUUCGAUAUCAUUUACUUAGCGAUCGAAAUGGUUCAAAAUCAACGGUUGAAAAUAAAAAUAUCUCAAAAAGUGGUGAUAUAAUACUAAAAUUUUCAAUCAGAGAUAUUGAUCUUGCAGUAAAUAGUACAAAAAAUUUUCUAUCAAAAUUUUAUCUGAUUUAAUACUUUUACUCCGUUAAACUUGCAAACGAUAUAUAUCAACAUUAAAAAUUGUUGGUUUUGAACUAUUUCGAUCGCUAGGUAAAUAGUAUCCAAAAAACGUAAAAUUUAUUUUCUAGAUACUUCAAAUAUACUAGAUUAAGUCUAAUGGAGCCGAUCGUUGAUUCGAAAGCUACAUCAUCGAAAACAGUUUAGGAGCACGAAGGCCCCCGUGCUCCUAAUAGCAUACAAUACCUACUCUCUCUCUCUCUCUCUCUCUCUCUCUCUAUAUAUAUAUAUAUAUAUAUAUAUGGGUCCGGCUACUAUACUAUUAUGAGUACGAUCACCCUCGUACUUAUAAGUUGUUUUCGAUGAUAGAGCUUCCGAAUCGACGAUCUACACCGUUAAACGUUAUUUACAACAUUUAAAACUUCUAGAAAUCAAAUUUUAUAAUUUUUCGACAUCAUUUACCUUACGAUCAAGAGGUCACAAAUUUGACAAUUUUUAAUGGCCGGUAUGGUAUACUUGCUAGUUUAACGAUGUAAAAGAAUCGGAAUUUGUUGAAUUUUUGGUAGAAAAUUAUAUUCACUACAUAGAUAAAGAUCAAUAACUCCGAUCUUGAAUUGAAGAUCCGAUCAUCCUUUUUUAGGACGUCGUUCGAUUUUAACCGUUCAUUUUAUGCCACUUGAUGGACUUUAUUAUGAUUUCGAAAUUUAUGAAAUUUUUUUCUAGAAGUUUCAAAUACUCUAGAUCAUAUUUAACGAAGUAGAUCGUCGAUUCAGAAGCUCCAUCAUUGAAAACAACUUAUGAGUACGAGGCUCCAACUAGUCAUAAUAGUAUAUAGCCAUGGCCAUUAUAUAUAUAUAUAUAUAUAUUAUUAUUAUUAUUAUUAUUAUUGCCAACUUCAACGCAAAGCCAAGGGACUGAAGGUGACAAAACACAUCAAACUAAUAUACAAACUCGAUCUCAAAGCCAAAGCACGCAGCAUAUAUAAUAAUGCACGUCCCAACACUAACGUACGUGCACAUCAUUAUUCAUUAUUCAUUAUUAUUCAUUAUUCAUUAUUUUAGCUUAUUACACGCACGCUCGAGCGAGCAUUGUUUCAUAUCGCUAAGACGUCGACGUAGCUUCAUUCCUAGAUCGAACUUAUACCAUCAGACCCCGUGUCAGAGAGUUGGGCGGUUGCCUUCGAAUUCAGAAGCGGACGGAGGACAUACUGGGCGAUCCCACAUGCUCCGCGUAAUGUUCCGGAGCCCUUUUGCAGCCUUAAGUACCCGUUCUCGCCCCAUGUUUUGCCCCAUGAGUUCUUAAUUAACCAAUACUGUGUUCCGCUGCUGUCUUUCCCGUACCCUACAAUGGUGAUGGCGUGGUCAAUCCUUGUCCCGCAAGGUCCUUUAAACACGCCGCCAUUGUAAAACUGAAAGUUCUUGUUUUUCGUAUCGACGGCGGAAGUUAUCGGUUGCUGCGCCACGGCAGCCAUCAUGGUGCCUUCGUCAAACGCAGGCAGAAAUUCGUAACCAGUAAUAUAUGCUACGUUGGGUUUGCCCUUUGCGGCGCAACUGCCUUUGGUUCCCACAUAAGGGUAGCUCUUCUCAUUUGUCACACCUUUAUUAGAUAUGAUGAAUUUGUAGGCAUUCUGCACCCAACCACCUAUGCACUCGACGCUGUCGGCGCAGUCUAAAACUUCUUGUUCAGAUAGAUCUAACAAGUUUCCCUUUUUGAUCUUGUAGAGCCCUUCUACUGUCGCAACUGCACUGAACGCCCAGCAUGAACCUAUUUCAAAAUAAAACGUCGAUUCACUUCAGCUAGCCCAUGUUAAGAGAAUUUAUGUGGAUUGUUGUAGUUCAUCAGAUUCAAGAAGAAAUUCAAACAAAAAUUCAUGGAGUACUCGACCAUGCAAACCUGGAGCUGUUUUUUAACGUUUUCUUACUGUAUUGCUUACAUAUCAUUGCGUAUAAAAUGUCAAAUUCUUAUAUAUCUACGUGGCUUUCUUGAAGGUUUGAUAAAUGUGGUCCAACCUAUACUGAUUAAUUUUCUUCCGAAGAUUAAUUAAACUAUUAAAGGAAGGGUUUUAAUUUUCUCGGGCGAUUCAUCAUUUUAUCUCGUAUUAGAUUUGAAGACUUAUUAUAUGUGAUCUUAUUAUAUGCGAUAACAUGCACUCUCAUGCUUUCCAUGGGCUAAAGAUAUGAACUUUGAAAAUAAAGGUGCGGAGCUUGAUUUCAUCUUCUUGUACAAAUAAAGAUGCAUGAGAUCUAAACUCAGAACAUUAUUUUUGAAUGUUGUUUAUAAUAAUAAUUUUUCUAUAAAAAAAUUAUGUUAAAUAUAAAAAUAUUUAAACAUUGUUGUCUACAAGUUUAAGUUUUUAGAGAAUAACAAUUGUUUUGUAUUAUUUAACAAGAUAUCAGAAUAGCAAGUUCUGAGUCCGAAUUACGCCAAGCUCCCAUCAUUAUUAAUUUUUUUUAUUUAAUUCAAAUCCACAUCAUAGGAUUUGCGAAAAGUCUCGAGUUCAAGAAGUGAGAGAAGUGUAAAAUAUAAAAAUAUUUAAACAUUGUUUUCUACAAACUUAAGUUUUUAGAAAAUAACAGUUGUUUCGUAUUAUUUAACGGUUUUAGAUAUGUAGAGAAAUUUAUGAAAUUACAAUACUGUGUAAAUAUAAGUUAAUUAGUACGUAGAGAACAAUCUUUUUAUGAUCCUCUUAUAUAUGUUUGAGCUCAAUUACAUACAUACUACAACGAAUUCAUAAUUUAGCGGUAUUUACUUCGCAGCAUUUAUUUAAAUAAUGCUAAUUAAUAUAUUUAACAGCAUUACUUGAUAAGUGCCACUAGAUUUAAUAAUUUAGUAGCAAUUUACUAUUAAUGUUGCAAAAUAUAACAAAUUAGCAGCAUAAAUUAGUGAAUACUGCUGACGUUUUCAGAAUUUUAUAAAAAAUGACACUAAAUGUAAUAAAAUAAAAGUACUUAUUGCUAAAUGCGCAAUAUUUACUCCGCAAUAUUUAUUUAAAUCAUGCCAAUUAAUAUAUUUAGUAGCAUUACUUGAUAAUCGCUGCUAGAUUUAAUUAUUUAGUAUCAAUUUACUAUUAAUUAUUUAGUAUCAAUUUUAUAAAAAAUCGCAGAAUAAAUUAGUGAAUACCGCUAAAUAUAAUAAACUAGCAACACUUUUUACUAAAUAAGUCAUCUAAUUAUAUAUAAUUAUUAAUAUAUCCUUUUUAUUUAAAAUUAAAAUUUUAAAAUUAAAGUUUAAAAUUCGAACAUAUAAUUUCAAAAUUAAACUUAUAAUUUAAAAUUUAAAAUUUAAAAUCUAUAUUUUAAAUUUUAAAUUCAAAUAUUUUUAUUUUUAAUUUUUACAUUUUACAUUUUUUAAUUUUUUAAAUUUAUUUCAAUUUAAAAUUUAAAUUUAAAACUAUUAAUUUUGAAACUUAAAAUUUGAUAUGGUGAAAAUUAAAAUUUAAAUUUAGUAUUUUUAAUUUAAAAUUUUAAAUUUUAAAAAUUUUAAAUUUUUUAAAUUUUUUAAAUUUUUAUUUUUUAAUUUUUAAUUUUUUAAAUUUUUAAAUUUUUAAAUUUUAAAUUUUUAUUUUAAUAGAAGACUUAAGAUUUAAAAAAUUAAAUAUAUAUAAACUAAUAGUUACUAGCGCAAGUGGGUAAAGGAUUUGGUGGUUGGUACUCGAGGUCUCAAGUUCAAUUCCUAUUUGAUUCACAUUUUCAACAAAAUUUAUUUCUAAAAGAAAUAAUGAAGCCGGGGUAGCAUCUCAAAAAAAUUAAAUUUAAAAUAAUUUUAAAUUUUCAGUUUAUAAAAUUAGAUAUUUAUAUUAACGACAUUACAUUUAUGUGCCACUAAUAAAAAAUUAAAAUUAGUAUUUAAUCCUUUUUCUUAAUGACACUAAUAGAUUUCUAUUGACGACAUUUAUAAUAAAUGCUGCUAAUACUUUUAGCAAUAUUGGCAUAGGCAGUAUUUGGUAUCAUAUGCUGCUAAACUUUUAGCAGCAUAUGUUGAUCAAAGUUGAAACCAAGAAAUAUUUGUUACUUUCCUGAUGUUUCCGAACGUUUUCAAUGGUAGAACCCUUGAUAAAAGAAAGAGAUGCUGUGUAUGAAUCACUCACAUAUCCUCAUAAAAAAUUAUUGACUCUAGAGAUAUGGUAAUAUGGAGAAGACAAAAUUAUUUAAAGCAUGCAGCAUAAAUAAAUACCAAUAAUGAUUAAUUUUCUAGUAGUGACAGUUAAUAGGCCAAGUAUAUAUAUAUAGGAUGUGAAUUAUGAAAGAUUUAAAACUAAAUACCAUCAUAAGUCUGCUAGAAUUCAUUCCCUGCCAAUGUGUUGAAUCGCUAAUUAUCCCAAAAACGUCUAAUAUUUUGUAAAUGGUGUUUGGUGGUUUAACAAAAUUAAGACAAUUUAAGCCACGUUGCUUCCCGCAAUUUGCUAAAUUAACGUUCUACUGAAUGAAGCGGUACCAUACUAUCUUUCUCUAAAAAAAAAAAAGAAAACAAAAUUAAGACGAUUUAAUACUUUGCUGUCAAUAGUUCUUACCGCAUUCGCCUUGAUUCUUGACUUCCGUGACGGCACCUUUCUGCCUCCAAUCAAUACUAUCAGGCAGUUUGGACAAGUCUACGUCCUCAAGCGAUGCAGUUGGCUCCGAUUCAAUAUUUUGAGGGAAGAACGUACCAGCGUAUCGCGCAACGAAUUCUUCAUUUGUCAUAUCAGCGAAUUGAUUAAUGCCGAGAGUGUACGAGUUUUCGUUGCGGCUAUUGAAGGUUUCGAUAUGGUUCACGUUGUUCUUAAAGAUCUCAAAACGGAGGGACUUCUCGUCUUCACUGUCGUAAACUCGGCCAUACUGUCUCAUCCAAUCUUCGAACCUCGUCAUCAUGUGAGCAUCCGAUUGGCCGCAAGAGGCGAGUGGCGAGGACCAGACGACACAGGCAAACAACAGGAAAAAACACACAAGUUGGAAUUUGGAGGCCAUGGCACUAGAUAGCAUCGGUUUGAAGAAAUGUUUUGAACUAGAAGAGCUCUUAAUUGUUGGUGGAGGCCAUGGCACUAGAAAGCAUCGGGCUUUUAUAGAAGCUGAUGGUCUACAGUAGUUGGAGCCUCAAUGAGCUCGAGACAAUCUGAGUGUUCAUACGUAGCUAUCGAAGAUCGAAUAGAUCUGGGUGGCCGCUGUGUGGUAUGCAUGCUAACCACAAAAAUAUUAAAAAAAAAAAAAGGAACAUUUCUCCUUCUUCUUUUUUUUUUUAAUCUUUUAACACUGAUUUCUUUCAAGUAUGGAUUGUGUUUGUUGCAUUAAUUUAUUUUUUUUACUUUAUUGAUAAUUUCUUCUUUAUUAAUUACGUUGAUUUUAUAUAUAGCUCUUGGUAAUUAGCUAGCUAAUUUUCUGUUUAAAUUUCAAAAUAAAUUAUUUAGUGUGAUAACUUUUUUGUGUCGUGGAAAGGAAUGAGUUUGAUUUUGUUAUUUGAAAGAUCUUGAUAUUUAUAAUAUUGUAGAAUAGUAUAUUUCACAUGUGACAGAAUUAAUUUGUAUUAUUCCCAGAAAAAAAAAAAAAAAGUUGAAAGUCAAAUAUCAUAGCCAUUUUAAACAUUUUAUCGCGCUAUUCUCAUCUGUUAAAUACUGCAAGCUUUAUAAAUAAAUCGAAUGGAUAUCUUAAGUAAGAUGUUCCAACAUCGGUAAUAAAGCAGCUAUUGAAAGAAAUUAAACAAAAACAAAAACAACAAUACGAGCAGAAAAAGAAGAAAAAGUAUACUAAUAAAAUAAAAGAUGUAUUUGCUGUCCCAUUUUACUUUUCAUUUGUCAAUACUAUUUUUCAGACAACUGUAAAGAAAGAAAUAGAGGGGGAAAGCCUUCAUGAAUGGAAGAGUAAGCGAGUUUUUAUUACUAUAACGACUGAUAUAUAGACAUAUAAGAGGGAGAGAGAAGGAGAGAGGAAAACUCAAAACCACAGCACAGUAAGAGAGGAAGAAAGAGGAAAAAAAGAAAGAAGGCAAAUCCGAUGAUUAUAUUGUUACUUAUUAAUUCCUGCGACGGAAUGUGACGGCGAUAGGUCAAGGUGGUAGGAUACGUUACAAAAUCGACGGAAUCAAAAUUGUUCUGUGCACCAGAUGUAUAAUUAAUGUAUCUUAUACGCCAAACUUUUAAACCCUAUUAUAAAUAUUUAAACUCUAUAAGCUUUUAUACAUAGAUUUUUUCUAUAGCGUAGUCUAUGUAUAUCAAAUUAUAUUUUAAUUUUAUGAUAUUAAUUUUUUUAAAAAAAUAAGUGACUCGUGUAAUGCACCAAUAGAACGAGCAGUGGCGAUAAUUUAUUAUAAUUGAAGAGAAAAAAGAAUUGUGGAAGAGAUACGAAAGAGAUUAACGAAAACUAAAUGAGAGAGGGGAAGAGGAGAAUUCGGUUGAAAAAAGAGUGUAUAUUACACAAAUAGUACCUAAACUUUUUAUCAUAUUUUUAACUGGGCCCUCAACUUAUUUUUUUUGUCAAUUGAGUCCCCAAUCUGUAGAAAUUUUUUUCAAUUGGGUCUCUACCGUAAAUCUUUCAAUUGACAGAAGUCCACGCGUGGUCGCUGACAUGAUCCUGAGUUGGCACAAUUUUAAAUUAAAAAAAUUAAAUUUUUUUAUUUAAACUUUUAUACUUAUUUAUAUAAAGUGAUUAGCAAAUUUAAUGGCUCUAUUAGUCUAACAUUUAAUCGAAUAUGAUUUUAUUUAAUAAGAAACAAUCAAAUUUAUCAAAUAAUAAAAUUAUCGACUAAUUUUUGCUAAAAUCUCUUUUUUAUUAUUAUCGUUUUAAAUUCAAAAAACUCAAAAGGUAAAAAAGCUCUCAAUCAGAAAAACAAAAUGCUAUUUGUACAUUGAAAAAUGUAUAUAAAAUUAAAUCUUAUACCUCCUUAUUUAAGAGUCUAUAAUUAAUUCUUUUUUUUUAGAUUUUUAAUAUUAAAAAAAUUAAACUGCUUUUAAAUCCUAGGUAGGAGAUCUAAUUCAAAAUCAGAAAAAUGAUGGAGACUAUAUUUAAUAGAUUACGAGAAAACAUGGGCCUCUCAAAUUCGAGUGAAUGUGGUGCCUCCGCGUCACUUGCAACUGAGGUUUUCAUCAUGUUAAAAUAAAAAAUAAAUAAAAAUUAAAUGGAUAGUUACACGCCAUUUGUAUAAUUAGCACAGCAAGGUACGGCAACGUUAGCGACCUCAAUGAUUGAGGCAAUUAAUGCCUUUUAUUUUUCAAUAUUUACUUAAUAGUACGAUGCCAACAUAUAUAACUUGAUCUCUCUUUCUUUCUCCUAAUCGUAUACUUUUUUUAUGGGUCAAAAUAUAUUAAAAGCUUUUGCUUAUAGAGUCUUUUAUAAUAUAUUUUUCUACUAUAAAAAUUUUAUUUAAUAAUUUUUUAAAUUUUUUAUUUAUCUUAGGUGAGCUUUUUUAUUUGACUAAAUCAAAAAUUCUACUAAAUUUAAUAGCUAUGUUAAUUUUAUUUACUAAAAAACUAAAAAAUUAGUGUUAGAUUUAGUAAAAUUUCUAAGUUAUUUUAAUAUAAUAAUAUAAAUAAAAUAAUUAAAAGUUAAACAUCUAAAUAUAAAAAAAAAUUAAAGUUCAUACUUUUACAUUAUUUAUUUAAUUAAUAAUUUUUUAAUAAAAAAUUUUUAAUUAGGAAGAGUUUUGUUUAUUAUUUAUUAUUAAAGUUCCUAUUUAAAUAUAUUUUGAACCCCCUCAAGAUUGAAUCCUAGUUUUGUCCUGAAUAUAUAUAAUAGUAUGCAUACAAUACUAUAUAAUAAAAUUGUAGAGUAAUUCUUGUGUGCUAUUAAAAGUACGGAAGCCUCCAUACACUUAAACGGUAUUCAAUGAUGGGACUUCCAAAUCGACGAUUUGCUUUGUUAAACUUGAUCUAGCUUAUUUGAAAUAUCUAAAAAAUAAAUUUUAUAAUUUUUCGAUAUCAUUUACCUAACGACCGAAAGGGUUUAAAAUUAAUAAUUUUUAAUGAUUGAUGUAUGUCGUUUGCAAUUUUAAUGGUGUAAAAGUAUUUAACUUAGAUAAAAUUUUGAUAAAAAUUUUAAACUAUGUACUACAAGAUCAAUAUCUCUGAUCGAAAAUUUUAAUACUAUAUUAUCACUUUUGUAAGAUUUUUAUUUUCAGUCGUUGAUUGAACACUUUCGAUUGCUAUAUAUGUAAAUGAUAUCGAAAAUUAUAAAAUUUAUUUUUUAAAUAUUUCAAAUACGCUAGAUCACAUCUAACGAGCCUGAUCGUCAAUUCGGAAGCUCCAUUGUCGAAAACUGCUUAGGAGCGCGGAGACCUUAGUGCUGCUAAUAGCACACAAGAUCUACUUUAGAAAUAUAUAAUAUUUAUAAAUAAAAACAUAAAAUAUGUAUAAUAAUUUUUUACCCUCUCUCUCUCUCUCUCUCUCUCUCACACACACACAUAUAUAUAUUUUAUAAAGUCUUGCUAUGGUUCUUGUAAAAGCACCAAGUAUUUGUUGCUUGUAAUAUUUUUACCAAUAGAUCAAUAUUUUUGAUCAUUUUCAUCUGUUAGAUUAUAUUAUUCAAUCAACCAUCCACUCAACCCUAUGGGGCCCAUAUUAUUAACAUUCUAACAGCAUAUCUCUUAAUCUAAUGGCGAAAAAUCUACAAGCAUCAAUAACUUAUAUUUUUAAAAGCAUAGGAGCUCAAUUCUCCUUUUAUUAUCUUAUAUAUAAUUAUAUAUAUAUUAAUAUAUAUAUAUUAUGAUAUAUAUAUAUAAAUAUAUAUAUAUAUAGAGAGAGAGAGACAGAUGAAGAGAGCUAGGUGGUAUACUAUCGUAGCACGAAGAGCCUCCGUUGCUACCAAUUGUUUUCAAUGAUGCGCCUUCCAAAUCGAUGAUCAGCUCCGUUAGAUUGAUCAUUACACUAUUGAAAACUAUUUGGAAACUAAAUUUAUAAUUUUCGACAUAUACCUAUCAAACGAGUAGUCUAAAAUGAACGGCUGAAAAUAAAAAUCUCAUAAAAAAUUAUAAUAGAAGACUUGAAUUAUAAUCGAAGUACGAUCUUACUCUAAAUAGUAAAAAAAAAUUCUAUAAAAGUAUCAUCUGAUAUUGGAUUGUUUUACACCGUUAAAUUUACAAAUGCAUCACAUCUUACCAUUAAAUUGUCAAUUUUGAGACCUUUUAAUCACUAGCCAAAUAAUAUCAAAAAAUUAUUAAAAUUUAGUUCAAAUAUUUUUGAAUAGUGUACAUCAAGUCUAACGGAAUCGAUCGUCGAUUGGAAACAUCAUCAUUGAAAACAUUGUAGCACGAGACUCGAUGUACCCAUUAUGGUAUACCAUGCCUGUCAUAUCGUAUAAUUAAUAACUUAUAUUAUAUAUAUAUAUAUAUAUAUAUAUAUAUAAAAGAGAGAGAGAGGGAUCACCCGGUCCACGAGAACCGGGCUUUAUGGGUCCGGCUUGUGAGCCGCGAUUUUUUGGAGGAAGUUUUCGUUUUCCGUCCAUUGUCAGCGGAAAAUGAUAACUUGAUUUUUCAAAAAAAAUUGUAAAAAAAAAAAUUUCAGCAAAUAUUUUUACGAGAAUCAAACAUGAAAAUUUUUUUUUUUAACUGAAAACAAUUUUCGAAAUAAUUUUACACGCAAUCAAAUACAUCCUAAGUAAAAAUUAAAGAAAACACGUCUUUUCCUCCACAUCUUGUCAUGUUUCAAAUCGUUUUUCGGCAACCUCUGCUAUUCAGCCACAUGAGUUUUGCGAUUGAGCUUUCGAUUGAUAAUAAGUAACACUGAAAUUCCCGCGCGAAGCUACAGAUAUAAAUUUUUUUUUAAUAAAUUUUAGUUUUUUAUUUUUUUACAUAAUUUUAUAAGUCUAAUUAUUAAUUAAAUAAAAGUUAUAUAAAAAUAAUUUAAUAGUUAAUUUUAUUUAAAUAAAAUUUAUUAAAACGACAAUUUAUUUUAUAAACAUUUAUGUGAAAAAAGAUUUGAGAUAAAUAUAUCAAAAUAAUUUUUAAAAAAAUAAAUAGAAAGAAAAUAAAAUAAUGGAAGAAUUUGUUUAAUAAAAUUAAUUUUAUAUAUAUACACACACACUAUAUUUCUAAAAUCUUACUCCUCAAAUUUAAAUUAUGUAAUUUUUUAUACAUCGAUCAAAUUAAAUUUUAUUAUGCGAUUUAUUACAUGUAUAUUAAUAUUAUUAAUUAAUUAUAUUAUAUACAAUGAAUUAUUAAUAUAAUUAAUUAAUUAAUUUCAUAGAGUUUAGGAAUUUAAAAUUUUAAAUUUUAAAAUUUAAAAUUUAAAAAUAAAUAUUAUAAAUUAAAUUUAAAAUUUAAAAUUUUAAAAUUUAAAAGUAUCAAAAUUUUAAAAUUUGAUAUAUAUAUAUAUAUAUAGAUAUAGAGGGAGAGAGAGAAAAGGGGGAUUUGAUGGUACACGUGUCCUCCCAAACCCUCCUUUAAUGUAGAAAAGAAAAAUAGAAAAUAAAUGUGAUCCAAAUAAUUGGGGUGAAAUAUAUAUCAACUUUAUGUUAUUAAUAAAUGAAAGUAAAAUAGAUAAUGACCAAUAACAAUAGAGCUAUUAAAUCCAAUAAUAGGUAAAGAAAGAAUAAAAAUUUGAGAAAUGUGUAUUUUUAAAUUGUCUGUUGUUGAAGGGGUAUCAUACAUUUUUGCCUGUUUGCCUGUUACUCCCUUAUUGGCUCACGUGUAUGUACCAAAGCCACAAAGGAAACGAUCCGAAAUUAUAAUUCAAGAUCCUAUUUUAGUUGUAAAUGAAAUAAACGAACGGAAACAUGCUAUUUAUCUCUUAAAAAAAAACAAAAGAAAUUAUAAUUCAAGAUCAUCCGAUAUCUUAUUAUAGAAACUAAUUAAGUGCGCCCAAUAUAUAAACAUAAUUUUUACAAUUUAAUUUUUCAAAGAAUCGAAUUUAUUUACUUGUUUUAUUAGCUUGUUCUUUUGAGAGAAGAAGCUCUUAGGCUGGUGACUUUACUUGUUGUAACACUAAAUAUUAGAAAAAAUGAAAUUAAUGUGUGUUUCUAUAGCUCACUCAUCAUAUCAUCAUAAUUUUUUUUAAAAAAAAUUAUAAUUUUUUUUAAAAAAAAAUUUGAUUGACCUUGAGAUAUAAAUAAUAUGAUACAACUAUCACGCAGAAGAUCAGUGAAAUAGUACUAGUUGUUUCAGGUACUCUCGCUAACAAGGCUUAGUCAGGUCCCAUGAUUGUAAUAAGAGAGUACCUGCUGCAAGUAGAAUCAAAAUGAUCGGUGUUGAACUUGUAAGAUAUUUAGGACACUCACCAUCACAAAAUUUAUGUGAUAUAUAUUGGUGGUAACAUUCUAAAUUUUCGUAUUCUUGUCCAUUCCAAUUUCCCCAGACCCUAGUUAACAUUUUUCAUCUGACAUUACAGUAAGGGUGCGUUUGGUUCGCAUUAUGAAAGAUUACUAGGAAUAAAAGAUAUCCGAAAAUCUUAUUCAUAUUCAUUCUAUUACUAAGAAUGUGGAAUUCCUAUGUUUGGUUCGCACGGUAAUAUUAAUUAGCCAUGUUAUUUAAUAUUACAAAAAAUAUACAAUUUAUUUAUUUAUUUAUUUAUUUAUUUUUAAAUAAUGUUACUAAAAGUUUCAACAUCUUUUUAGAAAAAAGGGAGAGAGAGUAUAAGUUAGAGAUAGAGAGCAUAAUUAAAAAAAUAGAAAGAAAAAUAUAGUCGAAAUUAGAGGGAGUGAGAGAGUUGAAAUUUUAGAAAGAGAGAGAGAGAGAGAGCUUAGUUUAGAGAGAGAAAAAAAGUUGAAUUUUAGAGAGAAAAAUAAGUUUAGAGAGAGAUAUAAGAUUAGAGUGUAACGAAAAAUAAUAUCAAUUAGCCGGCGGGUAGGAAGAAAGAAAGAGAUUAGACAUAUUAUGAUUACCCCAAUCCAUUAAUAAAAGGAUACCCACCCUCCCUCAAGGGAAUGAGAUUAGUACUUUGGGGUGAAUUUUAUUCCCAAGUGAAUCCAAUAUUACCAACUAGAUUACUUAGUGCAUUUAGCCAAACACCGUCAUAUUUUUUUCUUCUCAUUGGAUUACUAGGAAUCUUUAAAAGAUAGCGCGAACCAAACGCACCCUAAGUCCUAAAAAUUGUACGUACUUCCGUAAUUAGAAAUGAUAAUUUUUUCGAAAAAUUCGGAUCCAACGGGGAUCAGUUUGAAUGGAGCGGAGAUGGAAAGAAUUUGAUUUCCGUGAAAAUGAGAAUGAGAAAAAAAAUUUCUCCAGCUUGCGAAAAUACUACUCCCGGCCCGUUUCACAAAUUUCCAACCCUCACAAAAUAACAUAAUAUAUUAUUGUAUAAUUAUUAAUUUAUUUAUAGAUAUAGAAUUAAUGCUAACUUUAAUACAUUUAAUAUGCUUUUUAAUUAAACUAAAUAUUUUAAAUAUAUUUAAUUUUUUACACAGCAUAUUAGUUAAAUAAUAUUUAAUUAUUAAAUAGUUUUAAUAAUUUGGUACGUCAUACUGUAAUUUGACAAUCAAUAAACUCAAUACUUUGAAUCAAUUUUAAAUUAGUUUGAGUUAAAAUUAUGUCAAAUUUGAAAUGUAUAUUUUAAUGUAUUAUAUUUUUUUAAAAAAAUCGGCUAGGUCUACAAGGCAACGACGCUUUAUUAAAGAGCUUCAAAGUAUUAAGAUCCUUGUUUUUGUACGCUUUAUUAAAGAGUUGUAACACUAAAUAUUAGAAAAAAUGAAAUUAAUGUGUGUUUCUAUAGCUCACUCAUCAUAUCAUCAUAAUUUUUUUUAAAAAAAAUUAUAAUUUUUUUUAAAAAAAAUAUGAUUGACCUUGAGAUAUAAAUAAUAUGAUACAACUAUCACGCAGAAGAUCAGUGAAAUAGUACUAGUUGUUUCAGGUACUCUCGCGAACAAGGCUUAGUCAGGUCCCAUGAUUGUAAUAAGAGAGUACCUGCUGCAAGUAGAAUCAAAAUGAUCGGUGUUGAACUUGUAAGAUAUUAGUUUUUGUACGUAUCUUAAAAAAUUAAUUUUGAGAUUAUUUUAUAGAUCAAUCCGAGUAUGUUUCAAAUUCGCCGUAGAGAAAACAAUCCAAAUUAUCUUUAUACAAAAGAAAAUGAUACAUAUACACCAGUAUAUAAGUGUAAAUCUCACCUCCCAUGCAUUUUAAAAUUUACAAAAUUUUUAAAAUUUUUAAUGUUAAAAAAUAAAACAAAAAAAAACUACUAAGACAUGCAGAAAAUAAGAGGCUUUGAAUGAGUAGAAUUUAAGAUAUACAUCUAAUCUAAAAAUAUGCACAUAGCAUUACUCUUAUGCACCGACCGUCUCUAACGCAAGUGAUAAAAGCCUUGGUAAUUGGUAUACGGGGUCUUAAUUUCGAAUCUUAGUUGAUUUACAUUUUCAGCUAAAUUUACAAUUUUGCUACUAUAAGUUUAAAAUGAAGUCAAUCUAAAAAAUAAAAUAAAAAUAAAAAAAUUUAAGAUUAAUUUUUGUAAAAUAUGUAUAAAAACUAAAAAUAUUAUUAGAGAGUCCCCACUCAAGUUGUCUUUCGUUUCUGCACCGUUGGCCUCAUUGUACAUAAAUAGUAAAUAAUUAAAAAAGAAAAAGCUAUUUCAGACUAUUAAUAUGCAGCAGGGCGCGUUUUGGAUUGUUCAGGGACCGACCACCUCAAUCAGUAGAUGUUGGAGAUAAGCUUGCAUGUGGUGACACGAUUGUGAUCGCAAUUUUUGGGGGAUAAAAUCAUAAAAAUGUAUGGAAACCCUCUCAACUAUCUACAAUUUUGAAAUCGCCCCCCAUUAGAUUAGAUUGAUUUUUUCUUUAAAAAAAUCGACAUCGCCUUUAACUUCUGGUUAAUUUUAUAAAAUUAAAUGAGCUGAAUAAAAAGAAUAUAUAAUUAUUCGGAUUUAUCAAUAAAAAUUAAUUAAUAUAAUUAUCUUUUGUAAAUUAAAUUUAAAUAAUUAAUAAAAAAAACUAGUUGAAGAUAGUAAAAUUCUUAACUUAACAAAAUAAAAUGUCUUGAUGUAUCAAUUUCAAAAUAGUCUUACAUAUAGCUGAGAUUGUCUCCAUACAAUUUUUAUUGAGAUCUUUAAUUAAUUUUUAAAUUUUGAUAUAUAUGCUUUUUCCGAAUUGAGCAAAUUUAGUAAAAUAAAUAACUAAUUAAUAGAAGACGGGAAUUUAAUAGAAUUCUUAACUGCACUAACCAAAAUACCAAUUAAUACAGUAAUUAAAAGAAAAAAAAGGUAAAGUUGUCAAUUUUAAUUGCACUAGAAAUAAUACUUGUAUAGACAAAAACAAAAUAUGAAUCUAAUAAUUAGCUAAAGUACAAAACGAAAAAACUAUAUAUUUAAUUAAGGCAUCGUCUGGUCCUGCCGCGUGUGCUGCGAUACCAAUCACGCACCACAUAUAUAUGUAGAAUACAAACGAGCACGAUCGUAAAUCUACCGAUGAAGUCCCUCUAGAAUAAUAGGUUAAUGGAGAACAUGGUUUCUACGUUUCUUUCUUUUAUUUUUUUAUUUUUUUUUAUUUUUUUUCUUCAUUUUAUGUGAAAUCGCCUGCAUAUUUAUAAUUUCUUUUAUUUUCUUAUUUUCUAUCUUCUUCUUUUUUUCAUUUUAUGUGAAAUCGUCCGCAUAUUUAUAAGGGAUUUCAAAAUCCUAGUAGAUACGUAAGAGAUAAGAUAAAAUCGGUUAUUAAUUAUUAUCCUAAUAUGAUUAGAAUUUAUCUGUAAUUAGCUUUUCAAUUUAAAAACGAGAUUAAUUCUAAUCCAAUUAGACAACUUAAUAAUCGGCGGAUCGAGCCCGAUCAUGAACGCACCCGAUUCGAUUUAACCAAAUGCCAACAAGUAGCACACUAUUUCGUCGUAGUCGUGGCUUGUGCUUGGCCGUAUCCAGCCGGUUAAUGUGAUUGUGGCCCUCUUAAAUUCACGUAUAAUUCGCGAAUUAUACACGUAUUUUUCAAAAACCGAAUAAAACGCCCGUAUCAGUAUUUUUCAGAAAAAUUUGAAAAAAAACACGUUUUUUUAUCAAAAAUAAUUAUCCGCGAAUUAUUCACGAUUCGCGAACGAUUCACCUAAAAAAACGACGGUGGCGGACUUGCGGGUAGCUUCGUUGCCGCUCUCGUCGCCAACUCAUCCGUGUCCUCUUCGUCGUCCUUCUCCUCUGCCGCUCUCGUCGCCGAACUCGCGAGUAUUUGGAUUUAUGUAAAACCCCUCCGGAAAAAAAAUUUUCAGUCCCCAUGUCUGGUUGUCCGUAAAAAUUUUUUUGGUGUUCUUAUUGCAGUCGGCGGAGGAAGACAAAGAAAAAAAUUGAGGCGUAUGUGAGGCUAUAGUCGCGCCACGAGGCCACUUCAGCCUCGUGGACCGCAUGCUUUCAUUAGUCAUAUAUAUAUAUAUNNNNNNNNNNNNNNNNNNNNNNNNNNNNNNNNNNNNNNNNNNNNNNNNNNNNNNNNNNNNNNNNNNNNNNNNNNNNNNNNNNNNNNNNNNNNNNNNNNNNNNNNNNNNNNNNNNNNNNNNNNNNNNNNNNNNNNNNNNNNNNNNNNNNNNNNNNNNNNNNNNNNNNNNNNNNNNNNNNUUUUAGAAUAAAAUUAUAAUUUAAUAAAAAAUAACGAAAGAUAGAAAAAAUUAUAGGAGAAAAAAAUAUGUUACAUAGAAAUCGGACCCCUUUGUAUCCUCAUUUAGGGCAUUCACUACUAACACCGAUACUUUCGUGAAAUAUCAUAGCGCCUUCAACCCUUUUUCAGCAAAUCCUAUAUAUUACAAAUAUAAGUGGUCGACAUCGAGGGAGAAAGGUUCGAGGCUAGGGUUAGAGUUCGACUCACUCGACGUUGACGGUGAGAGCGAGGGCGGUGCGCUUGCGGGCUUGAGGGGAGCAGACGUAGUAGGCGAGGUCGUUGUCGAGAACGCGAUUUGCCGUGCCCACAGGCUUCAUGGGCAACGAUUCUUAGAAAAUAGAAACUAAUGAAAGGGAAGUCGAAGUAGCGACGUUACAAAGAAGAAAUUAUGAGAUGGAAAGUCGAAGAGACAUACGUUAUGAAAAAAAAUUAAUAAUACGAAAAGCGGAAGAGGUAAACGUUACGGGAAAGGAAAGCCGAAGAGACCGCUUAGCCAUUUGGUUCAAAAGAAGGGCAAGUGAGGGUGAAAGAUAGGCUGUCACGUGGCAAGAUUAGGAAAAAUAAUGUUAAGGUAUAGAUUAUGUAGUAGGUACAACACAUUAUUUAUAACCAGUUAGUUAUAUUUUUCUUUUGAGAGAAAAAUAUAAUAAAAUUAUUUUUUAAAAAAUUAUGAUGAAAUGGAUAAACUACAAAAUAGUAAUUUGAUUAGUUGUAGACAUCAUAUCAGUAAUAUAAUUAUUGCAUUCUAGACUUUUUCCUAAUUUGUCGCGUGCAUUUGUUGUUGGAGUACGAGUGAUUGUAUGGUUCACUAAUUUACAUAGUAGCCUAUCGCUUGUAUUUUGCGGGUGUGUACUACUAUGACCAGUAAGAAAUCCAGCUAGUAAAAUUGUGUCGCUUAUUAAUUGUCCUAUCAAAUUGUUCUUAAUGAUAGGAAUUCCGAAUCGAUAAUCGGAGCCGUUGAAGUUGAUUUAGAGUAUUUAAAAUAUCUAGAAAUUAAAUUUUACAAAUUUUAAAAAUUAUUUACAUGGUGAUCAAAGUGUCAUAAAAUCGACAAUUUUUGACGACUAUAUGAGCCGUUUGCUUGUUUAACGGUGUAGAGUAAUCCAAAUUACUUGAAUUUUUGACAGAAAAUUUUUUAUACUAUUUAGAUAAUGUUUGAUAACUCUGAUUAUGAAUUAAGAAAGUCUAACCUCUAUUUUAAGAAGAUUAUUCAUUUAUAACCGUUUAUUUUUUCGACUAUUCGAUAGACUUGAUAAUGAUUUUUAAAUAUUACAAAAUUUGAUUUCUAAAUAUUUCCAAUUGUAUAGAUCAAUUUCAACAAUGCCGAUCAAUUAUCAAUUUGAAGUUCCGAUCAUUCAAAUCGACUUAAUAGGACAAUAUCCUCAAUCCUAUUAAUAGGAUAGUAGAUGGACUCCAUAUGUAGAGAGGAAGAGAUCAAUUGAGCUUGUAUAUUUUUAAAAGUACCAAAUUAUUAGUGCUUAUAGAUUUUCGGCCCUUAAAUGAAAGAAUGUGCAGUUAGGAUGAUAAUAAUUCUCUAGAAUUAAAUAGAUGGUUGAUGAAAUAGCAUAAUAUAAGGGAUAAAAUUGGUGAAAAGAAUAGAUAUAACUAUGAGAAACUUAUUAGGAACAAAUACUUAGUGUUUUUAAAAACACCAUAGCCGAACUUAUAUAUACAUAUGUGUGUGCGUGAGCGCACGCGAACGUGACGUAGCAAUAAUGUCAAUAUAUCAAAACUAUGUUGUGCAUUGAAUCGGGCUUGUUGGAUUCCAUGCAUGUAAGAAAUUGUAGUAGAGGAAGGUUUAAAAUGCUAAUGUUACUUCCUUCGCCACAGUAAUAGAGAGCGGAUGGUUUUGUCUAAACCAUCCCAACUCUAAAACAAAUUUAAGAAAUUUCUCCUCAAGUGACGUAAUGCUAUGAGCCUAAAUUAGGCAAUUCUUUUUUAAAAAAAAUUAAGGCUAAAAAUCGUUUUUGAAGAUCUUCUAACGCUCCAAACUCGCGGUGGAUCAAACUACAAAUGAGCACGAUCACAAAUUCACCGUUCAAGUCCCUCUAGAAUAAUAGGUUAAUGGAGAAUGUGGUUUCUACGUUUCUUUCUUUUAUUUUCUUUUAUUUUCUUUUUAUUUUCUUUAUUUUAUGUGAAAUCGCCCGCAUAGUUAUAAUUUCUUUUAUUUUCUUAUUUUCUUUCUUUUUUUUUCAUUUUAUGUGAAAUCGCCCGCAUAGCUAUAAGGGAUUUCAAAAUCCUAAUAGAUGCGUAAGAAAUAAGGCCAAAUCGAUUAUUAAUUAUUAUCCUUACCUCUAAUUAACUUUUCAAUUUAAAAGCGAGAUUAAUUCUAAUCUAAUUAGAUAACUUAAUAACCAUCGGAUUGAGCUCGAUCAUGAGUGCAUCUGAUUCGAUUUAACCGAAUGCCAACGAGUAGCACACUGUUUCGUCGUAGUCGUGGCUUGUGCUUGGUCGCAUCCAGCCGGUUAAUGUGAUCGUGGCCUGAAUUGACACGACCCGUAUCACGGUAUCAGCUAUGCCAGCCAGGCUGGACAUCGCAGUGCUUUUUCUUUCCUUUGAUAUUCUUUUAUUUUUUUUCCUUUCUAUCUCAAAUAUAAUGUAAACUAGUUAGAGUUUAAAUAUUUAAAAAAAAAAAAUUUAAGAAGAAAAACUUAUUUACUUAAUAGAAAACAAUACAUAUUUUAUAAACUUAAUAUUAAAAAAGUAAAAUUACAAAAUUUAAAAUAAAUCAUGAAACUAGCUGGCUGUGAUUUAGUAAUGGAGUGUUAUUAAUUUGUUUCUACCUAAGUGAUAAAUAAGGGCGUGCAUGUGCGGAUGUUGCCUAGAUGAGCAAUUAUCCUGCUUGCUUUUACCCUGUGGAGGAAAUUAAUCUAUUGCUAGUGUAGGAAACCGCGCGAUGCUGCGGAUAUAAUCAUAUUUGAUUAAAUUUAAUAAUAUAAAAAAUAUUUUAAAAUUUUUAGAAUAAAAUUAUAAUUUAAUAAAAAAUAACGAAAGAUAGAAAAAAUUAUAGGAGAAAAAAAUAUGUUACAUAGAAAUCGGACCCCUUUGUAUCCUCAUUUAGGGCAUUCACUACUAACACCGAUACUUUCGUGAAAUAUCAUAGCGCCUUCAACCCUUUUUCAGCAAAUCCUAUAUAUUACAAAUAUAAGUGGUCGACAUCGAGGGAGAAAGGUUCGAGGCUAGGGUUAGAGUUCGACUCACUCGACGUUGACGGUGAGAGCGAGGGCGGUGCGCUUGCGGGCUUGAGGGGAGCAGACGUAGUAGGCGAGGUCGUUGUCGAGAACGCGAUUUGCCGUGCCCACAGGCUUCAUGGGCAACGAUUCUUAGAAAAUAGAAACUAAUGAAAGGGAAGUCGAAGUAGCGACGUUACAAAGAAGAAAUUAUGAGAUGGAAAGUCGAAGAGACAUACGUUAUGAAAAAAAAUUAAUAAUACGAAAAGCGGAAGAGGUAAACGUUACGGGAAAGGAAAGCCGAAGAGACCGCUUAGCCAUUUGGUUCAAAAGAAGGGCAAGUGAGGGUGAAAGAUAGGCUGUCACGUGGCAAGAUUAGGAAAAAUAAUGUUAAGGUAUAGAUUAUGUAGUAGGUACAACACAUUAUUUAUAACCAGUUAGUUAUAUUUUUCUUUUGAGAGAAAAAUAUAAUAAAAUUAUUUUUUAAAAAAUUAUGAUGAAAUGGAUAAACUACAAAAUAGUAAUUUGAUUAGUUGUAGACAUCAUAUCAGUAAUAUAAUUAUUGCAUUCUAGACUUUUUCCUAAUUUGUCGCGUGCAUUUGUUGUUGGAGUACGAGUGAUUGUAUGGUUCACUAAUUUACAUAGUAGCCUAUCGCUUGUAUUUUGCGGGUGUGUACUACUAUGACCAGUAAGAAAUCCAGCUAGUAAAAUUGUGUCGCUUAUUAAUUGUCCUAUCAAAUUGUUCAUAAUGAUAGGGAUUUCGAAUCAAUAAUCGGAGCCGUUGAAGUUGAUUUAGAGUAUUUGAAAUAUUUAGAAAUUAAAUUUUAAAAAUUUUAAAAAUUAUUUAUAUGGUGAUCAAAGUGUCAUAAAAUUGACAAUUUUUGACGGCCUAGUAGAGUAAUCCAAAUUGCUUGAAUUUUUGACAGAAAAUUUUUUAUACUAUUUAAAUAAUGUUCGAUAACUCUGAUUAUGAAUUGAGAAAGUCUAACCUCUAUUUUAAAAAGUUUAUUCAUUUAUUACCGUUUAAUUUUUCGACUCUUCAAUAGACUUGAUAAUGAUUUUUAAAUAUUAUAAAAUUUAGUUUCUAAACAUUUCUAAUUGUGUAGACAAUUUCAACGGUACCGAUCGAUUAUCAAUUUGAAGAUCCAAUCAUUCAAAUCGACUUGAUAGGACAAUGUCCACAAUCCUAUUAAUAGGAUAGUAGAUGGACUCUAUACAUAAAGAGGAAGAGAAUUGAGCUUGUAUAUUUUUAAAAGUACCAAAUUAUUAGUGCUUAUAGGUUUUCGGCCCUUAAAUGAAAAGAUGUACAGUUAUGAUGAUAAUAAUUUUCUAGAAUUAAAUAGAUGGUUGAAGAAAUAGCAUAAUAUAAGAGAUAAAAUUGGUGAAAAGAAUAGAUAUAACUAUGAGAAACUUACUAGGAACAAACACUUAGGUAGUGUUUGGUUCGGGAACAAGGGGGGGAAUAAGCCCUUAUUCCCCCCUUUGUUCCCAAACGUAAUGUUUGGUUCCCGGGAACAGUAGUUUCUGGGAAUCUGGAACUAGCUGGUAUAAAGCUGGAACUGCUGUUCCACCCGUUUUCUGGAACAAGCUUGUUCCUUGAUGAGAACAAGAUUAAUUAAAAUCUAAAUUUAAUUUUAAUGGCAGUAAAUUAUUAAUUAAUCUAAUUAAUAUAUUUAAAUUAUUAUUUAUUACUUUAAUAAUUAAAUAAUUUAUUAUUUAUAAUUAAAUAUUAAUAAUUAGAUAAUUAUUAUUAUUAAUUUAUUAUUUAUAAUUAAUUAUAAAUAAUUAAUAAUAUUCAUUAUUUUUUUAUUAAUAAUUAUUAUUCUUAAUGACAAUCGAUAUUAUUAUUAAUUUAUUAUUUAUAAUUAAUUAUUAAUAAUUAAUAAUUAUUAUUAUUUAUUAUUAAUUAUUAAUAAUUUUUAUUCUUAAUAAUUAGAUAAUCGAUAUUAUUAUUAAUUUAUUAUUUAUAAUUAAUUAUUUAUAAUUAAUAAUAAUUAUUAUUUAUUAAUAAUUAUUAAUAAUUUUUAUUCUUAAUAAUUAGAUAAUCGAUAUUAUUAUUAAUUUAUUAUUUAUAAUUAAUAAUUUAUAAUUAAUAAUAAUUAUUAUUUAUUAAUAAUUAAUUAAUAAUUCUUAUUCUUAAUAAUUAGAUAAUGGAUAUUAUUAUUAAUUUAUUAUUUAUAAUUAAAUAAUAAUAAUUAUUAUUAUUUAUUAAUAAAUAUUAAUAUUAAUUAUUAUUAAUAAUUAGAUAAUCAAUAUUAUUAUUAAUUUAUUAUUUAUAAUUAAUUAAUAAGAAUAAUUAAUUAUUAUUAUUAUUUAUUAAUAAUUAAUAAUAAUAAUUAUUAUUAUUAAUUAGAUCAUCCAUAUUAUUAAUUUAUUAUUUAUAAUUAAUUAUUAAUAAUUAAUUUUUUAUUUAUUUUUAAGUAAUAUUUUUAUUACUAUUAAUUACAUAAUAUAAUUUUAAUUUCAAAUUAUAACUCUUAUUCCUCUUGUUCCAAUCUAACCAUCCAAACACUAUUUACCUUAUUCCUAGGAACAACCCAAUUUUCAUCCAAACGCAAAAUUGGUCUAAUUCCUGCUUAUACCUGAACUUGUACCUAUCCCUAGAACUAGCAGUUCUUACUUAUACCCGAAUCAAACGCAGCCUUAGUGUUUUUAAAAACACCAUAGCCGAACUUAUAUAUACAUAUGUGUGUGCGCGAGCGCACGCGAACGUGACGUAGCAAUAAUGUCAAUAUAUCAAAACUAUGUUGUGCAUUGAAUCGGGCUUGUUGGAUUCCAUGCAUGUAAGAAAUUGUAGUAUAGGAAGGUUUAAAAUGCUAAUAUUACUUCCUUCCCCACAUGCAGUAAUAAAGAGCGGAUGGUUUUGUCUAAACCAUCCCAACUCUAAAACAAAUUUAAGAAAUUUCUCCUCAAGUGACGUAAUGCCAUGAGCCUAAAUUAGGCAAUUUUUUUUAAAAAAAUUAAGGCUAAAAAUAGUAAUAAAUGUUAAUAAAUGGAAAGUAAAAAAAAACACACUCCAUAUGUAAAAGAAGAAAUGAGAAACAAUAAUUUUAUCUCCCAAGCCCUAAUUUAUCAUUGGGUGGUAUACGCAAUUUUUCAAAACGAUUGAGGAUAAAUCAGUUGAUAAUGAUUUUCCUCUUAUAAGAUACCAAAUUACCAACAACCUCUUUGGGUGUUCUUUUCUUUUAACUAGCUUUUCACCCGUGCGAUGCACGGCUAAUAUAAUAAUAUAAAAUAAUAAAAAUUAUUAUAUAAUGAUAAAAAAAAUAUUUUAAUUAAUAUUAUAUUUUUUUAACAAAUAAAAAAAUAUACUAUCAAUUUUAAUUAUAGUACAUAUUAAAGUACACAAGCUAGAGAAAAAAAAAUUUUGAUCAAAAUAAAUACUCAAGUAAAAUGCAAAAUUCAACCAUACUCUAUUAUCUAUAAAUUGGUGUGCAACACAAUUUACAUUUAUAUAUUGGUAUGCAAAACAAAAUGAUAACUAAAAUUGAUAUGAAAAAUUACAAAUAAUAUUAAUAUUUAAGCAUAUAAUGAGAUUAACUAAACUUUCAUAUUUGACACAAAUUAGAGUAAGCACACGUAUAUUAUUUCCCUACUGUCACUUUAAAUAUUCAAAAAUAUAUAGAUGUUGGUGUUCAAGAUAAUAUAAAGAAAAACAACUUUGUUGCAUGAAGAUGGAAAAUUACAGAAGUGACAGUAGGAAAAAAAAAUUACGAAAUGAAAAUUACAGAAGUGACAGUAGGGAAAUAAUAUGUUCUAUUUUAAAAUAUUAACAUUUAAGAGCUAAGAAAAUUACAGGAGUGACGUGAGUUUUAAAUUUUUUUUCUCUUUCCAAAAAUGCCUCUAUCCUUUUUUACUAAUAUUUUUAUAUCCAGAAAUUUUCAACCAAUCAUUUCAAAUAAUUAACUAAGUAACAAUUUAUACCCAAAUAAAAAUAAAUAUUUUUCUUCUCAUGCGUAAUAUCCGCACCCGUCAAUUCUUUCGCAACGUAAUAUUCGUAAAUUUUUCAAAUAUCUGAACAUAAUUAUAGGUGACUUUGAAAUAAAAGUUUCUUCAUUGUAGGUAAUUUUUAAUAAUAUAGUAAAAGAUAUUAAUUUUUUAUAAAAGCGUGAGUUUUGAAUUUUUUCCUCUUUCCAAAAUUGUCUCUAUCCUCUUUUACUAAUAUUUUUUUGUCCAGAAAUUUUCAAUCAAUCAUUUCAAAUAAUUAACAAAGUAGUAAUUUAUUUUCAAAUAAAGAUAAAUAUUUUUCUUGUCAUGCGUGAUAUCCGCACUCGUCAAUUCUUUCGCAACAUAAUAUCCGUGAAUUUCUCAAAUAUCUCAUCAACAUAAUUAUAGGUGACUUUGAAAUAAAAUCUCUUUCAUUAUAGGUGAUUUUUAAUAAUAUAGUAAAAGAUAUUAAUUUUUUGCCAUUACAUCUUAUCUAAUGAUUGAAAAUAAAAAUAUCUGUUUUUUUUGUGACAAUAUUAUCCUCGCAUUUAUAUCAUAUUUUCUAUUUAGGCGUUUCUUAAAUAUUUUUGGAAAAACUUUAAAAAUUUUCCUGUGGUUUCGUAGUUUCUCACUUUAUCCCCAUGUGGUUUAAAAUGUAUCAAUUUGCCGCCCUGUGGUUUCUUUUUUUUUUCUUAUCAAUUUUAUUAUUUUUUUUUUCUUAAAUCAGUGAUAAAGUUAAAAUUAAAGGGUACCAAAAUGAAUAUUUGAUCAAUCUAGAUAGGUAUCUGAAGUUUUUUGUAUAUAAUUUAAUGAAAUAUUAACGAAAGCUACCGAAAAGAUAAAACGAAACCACAGGGGGGCAAUUUGAUACAUUUUAAACCACAGGGGGGUUUUUUGAAGUUUUUUCAAUAUUUUUCUUCUCACGCGUAAUAUCCGCCAAUUUUUUCGCAAUGUAAUAUCCGUGAAUUUCUCAAAUAUCUCAGUAAUCCACGUACCAUUUGAAUUUAAUAAUAUAGUAAAUAGAAUAGAUACGAUAACACGUGGAAAUCAUAUAGAAAGCCACGUUAAAAAAAAUGUCUCUAUCUUUUCUUACUAAUAUUUUUAUGUCCACAAAUUUUCAACCAAUAAUUUUAAAUAAUUAAUUAAGUAAUAAUUUAUUCCCAAAUAAAGAUAAAUAUUUUUUUUCUCAUGCGUAGUAUUCGUACCCGCCAAUUCUUUCGCAACGUAAUAUCCGUGAAUUUUUCAAAUAUCUUAUUAAUCCAUCUACCAAAUAGAAUAGAUUUCCUAAAGUAGUAAUAUCCGCACAAUAUAAUUAUAGAUAACUUUUAAAUAAAAUUUUCUUCAUUAUAGGUGAUUUUUAAUAAUAUAGUAAAAGAUAUUAUUUUCUUAAAAAAUUUAAUUUUAUUUUUUCAAAAUUAGAAAAUUUAUAUUUGAGCUUGACACGUAGAUUUUCUAUAUAGUAAAAGAUAUUAUUUUCUUAAAAAAUUUUAUUUUAUUUUUUCUAGAGUAACAUCCGCACCCACCAAUUCUUUCGCAACGUAAUAUCUGUGAAUUUAUCAAAUAUCACAACAUAAUUAUAAGUGAUUUUGAAAUAAAAUUCCUUUAAUUAUAGGUGGCCAAUUCUUUCUCAACGUAAUAUCCGUGAAUAUUAUUUUCAUAAAAAAAUUCUUUCGCAAUGUAAUAUCCGUGAAUUUCUCAAAUAUCUCAACAUAAUUAUAGGUGACUUUGAAAUAAAAUCCCCUUCACUAUAGGUGAUUUUUAAUAAUAUAGUAAAAAAUCUAUAUUUGAAAUAUUACCUAAAGUAGAAAAUCUGUAUUUGAACUUGACACGUAGAUUUUUUAUAUAGUAAAAAAUAUUAUUUACUUAAAAAUUCUAAUUUUAUUUUUUUUAAAGUAUAAAAUUUAUAUUUAAGUUUGACACGUGACAAGCAUAUAGAGCGUCACGUAUCAGUUUCUCAUAUAGGAUUCAUUAAGGGUUCUAUUUUAGUAUAUAGUAAUAGAUUGUACAUACCAACAACUAGGAUGAGAGUGAUACCACAGUAAAAGCUACUGGACUAUAAUUAGAUACCCUUUAUUUUCUCCAUUUGCAUUUUAAAUUUUGUUGGGCAUCGCAAUAGCAAUUAGUUUUUGACAUUCUAUAUUUUAAAGUGACGGUACCUAGCACUAAGUAAUCUCUAUAUCAGUAUCCGCGGGUAUCCACGGAUUAUUCGUAAAUUUAUAGGUACGAGUACUAAUAUUUUCUAUCUAAAAAUUUAUGAAUAAAACGGAGGGGUACCUGUUAAUUUGUAGGUAUUUUGGACAACUUGCAAAUAGAGGUUGAUUCACGUGUUCUUGAAUCAUUCUUGAAGGUCUUCUAACACUCCAAACUCGCGGUGGAUCGAACUAUAAACGAGCACGAUCACAAAUCCACCGUUCAAGUCCCUCUAGAAUAAUAGGUUAAUGAAGAAUGUGGUUUCUACUUUUCUUUCUUUUAUUUUCUCAUUUUCUUUCUUAUUUUUUUUCUUCAUUUUAUGUGAAAUCGCCCGCAUAGUUAUAAUUUCUUUUAUUUUCUUAUUUUCUUUCCUUUUUUUUUCAUUUUAUGUGAAAUCGCAAAUCCUAAUAGAUACGUAAGAAAUAAGGGUAAAUCGAUUAUUAAUUAUUAUCCUAAUAUGAUUAGAAUUUAUCUCUAAUUAGCUUUUCAAUUUAAAAGCGAGAUUAAUUCUAAUCCAAUUAGAUAACUUAAUAAUCGUCGGAUCGAGUCCGAUCAUGAGCGCACCCGAUUCGAUUUAACCAAAUGCCAACAAGUAGCACACUGUUUCGUUGUAGUCGUGGCUUGUGCUUGGUCGCAUCCAACCGGUUAAUGUGAUUGUGGGCUGAAUUGACACGACCCAUAUCAGCUAUGCCAGCCAGGGUGGACACCGCAGUGCUUUUUCUUUCCUUUGAUAUUCUUUUAGAGUUUAAAUAUUUUUUAAAAAAAAAUUAAGAAGAAAACUUAUUUACUUAAUAGAAAACAAUAUAUAUUUUAUAAACUUAAUAUUAAAAAAGUAAAAUUACGAAAUUUAAAAUAAAUCAUGAAGCUAGCUGGCUGUGAUUUAGUAAUGGAGUGUUAUUAAUUUGUUUCUACCUAAGUGAUAAAUAAGGGGGUGCAUGUGCGGAUGUUGCCUGGAUGAGCAAUUAUUCUGCUUGCUUUUACCUUGUGGAGGAAAUUAAUCUAUUAUUAUGUAGUAGGUACAACACAUUAUUUAUAACCAGUUAGUUUUUUUUUCUUUUUGGAGAGAAAAAUAUAAUAAAAUUAUUUUUAAAAAAAGUAUGAUAAAAUGGAUGAACUAUAAAAUAGUAAUUUGAUUAGUUGUAGACACCAUAUAUAUCAGCAAUAUAAUUAUUACAUUCUAGACUUUUUCCUAAUUUGUCGAGCGCAUUUGUUGUUGGAGUACGAGUGAUUGUAUGGUUCACUAAUUUACAUAGUAGCCUAUCGCUUGUAUUUUGCGGGUGUGUACUACUAUGACCAGUAAGAAAUCCAGCUCGUAAAAUUGUGUCGCUUAUUAAUUGUCCUAUCAAAUUGUUCUUAAUGAUAGGAAUUCCGAAUCGAUAAUCGGAGCCGUUAAAGUUGAUCUAGAGUAUUUGAAAUAUCUAAAAACUAAAUUUUAUAAAUUUUAAAAAUUAUUUACAUGGUGAUCAAAGUGUCAUAAAAUCGACAAUUUUUUAUGGCCUAUACGAGCCAUUUGCUUGUUCAACGGUAUAGAGUAAUCCAAAUUGCUUGAAUUUUUGACAGAAAAUUUUUUAUACUAUUUAAAUAAUGUUCGAUAACUCUGAUUAUGAAUUGAGAAAGUCUAACCUCUAUUUUAAAAAGGUUAUUCAUUUAUGACCGUUCAAUUUUUCGACUCUUCGAUAGACUUGAUAAUAAUUUUUAAAUAUUAUAAAAUUUAGUUUCUUAACAUUUCUAAUUGUGUAGACAAUUUCAACGAUGCCGAUCGAUUAUCAAUUUAAAGAUCCGAUCAUUCAAAUCGAUUUGAUAGGACAAUGUCCACAAUCCUAUUAAUAGGAUAGUAGAUGGACUCUAUACAUAAAGAGGAAGAAAAUUGAGCUUGUAUAUUUUUAAAAAUACCAAAUUAUUAGUGCUUAUAGGUUUUCGGCCCUUAAAUGAAGAUAUGUACAGUUAAGAUGAUAAUAAUUCUCUAGAAUUAAAUAAAUGGUUGAUGAAAUAGCAUAAUAUAAGGGAUAAAAUUGGUGAAAAGAAUAGAUAUAACGAUGAGAAACUUACUAGGAAUAAAUACUUAGUGUUUUUAAAAACACCAUAGCCGAACUUAUAUAUACAUAUGCGUGUGCGGGAGCGCACGCGUACGUGCCGUAGCAAUAAUGUCAAUAUAUCAAAACUAUGUUGUGCAUUGAAUCGGGCUUGUUGGAUUCCAUGCAUGUAAGAAAUUGUAGUAGAGGAAGGUUUAAAAUGCUAAUAUUACUUCCUUCCCCACAUGCAGUAAUAGAGAGCGGAUGGUUUUGUCUAAACCAUCCCAACUCUAAAACAAAUUAAGAAAUUUCUCCUCAAGUGACGUAAUGCUAUGAGCCUAAAUUAUGCAAAUUUUUUUAAAAAAAAUUAAGGCUACAAAUAGUAAUAAAUGUUAAUAAAUGGAAAGGAAAAAAAAAAAACACUCCAUAUGUAAUAGAAGAAAUGAGAAACAAUAAUUUUAUCUCCCAAGCCCCAAUUUAUUAUACGCAAUUUUUCAAAACGAUUGAGGAUAAAUCAGUUGAUAAUGAUUUUCCUCUUAUAAGAUACCAAAUUUCCAACAACUUCUAUGGGUGUUAUUUUCUUUUAAUUGUACAUACCAACAACUAGGACGAGAGUGAUACCACAGCAAAAGCUACUGGACUAUAAUUAGAUACCCUUUAAUUUCUCGAUUUGCAUUUUAAAUUUUGUUGGGCAUCGCAAUAGCAAUUAGUUUUUGACAUUCUAUAUUUUAAAGUGACGGUACCUAGCACUAAGUAGUCUCUAUAUCAGUAUCAACGGGUAUCCACGGAUUAUCCGUAAAUUUGUAGAUACGAGUACUAAUAUUUUCUAUCUAAAAAUUUAUGAAUAAAACGAAGGGGUACCCGUUAAUUUGUAGGUAUUUUGGACAACUUGCAAAUACCCAUGAGUACCCGCAUAUAUUUUUUUAAUUAAAAUAUAUAUAAUAUUUAUAAUAUUGACUCUAUAAUUAUUAAAGCUUUUUUAAUUUUAUAUCGCAAAAAUUAUAAUUUGCGCAUAUUUUCUCACUUUAGUACUUAAUAGUUUAAAGUGUAUCAAGUUAGUUGCCACAAAUAGCUCAACCUUUUUUUAACGGGUAGAAAUUGGGUAGUUUUUAAACCAGACAUGGUUCAUGGGUAGGGAUCAGGCCCGGUCCAGCAAGGCUGUGGGCCAUGCUGGGCAUCAGGCAACACCCACAACCAUUUUAGAUUGGGCCUAAAGUAUUGGGCCGACCCUUUUAUUUUUUUCUAAUAUAUUUUUAAAUUUUUUAUUUAAUCCAACCACAAAAAUAGACAAGCACCAAUUUAUAACUAUUUAACAAUUAAUAGGUUCACACACACGCGCGCGCGCACACAACUAUGUAUUUAUUAGACAUAGUUUAGAAUAAGCAAACACUCCUCAGUCUUUGAUGUUUGAUUACUCACAAAAAUGCUAGCAAUUGGAUGCUAUUAAUUAAUUAUUUGAUAAAUUUCUGAAGCAACAUAGUCGGUAAGGGGCAUGUGUGCGUUAAACAGGUAUAUUCAGGGGCAUAUGUGUGAAGGUCUUAUUUAUAAUUUUGUCAUCUAAAUUUUGAUAAAUAUAUUUUAUCUUAAACAAAUAUAAUAAUAAUUUUUAUUUUAAAUUAAUUUUAAAAAAGCAAAAUGAUGCUCGGGCAAUUUUUACUUUUGAGGCGUGGGCAUGCGACGAGCACACAUGGCGUUCGCUUCGCCCCGUUUGCUCCGUCGCAUGUCGCAAAUCCAAACCAAGUAACGGCUCCACGAACGCACGCACGCACUCAGGCUCGGUCGCUCGAGAACUCUCGCGCCCCCUUUUUCUGAUUCCAACUCCAAAAUGGCCACGCGUCACCUCGCCCCUCUCCGUCUCCCCCUCAUCUUCUUCAAAACCCUCUCCCCUCCGCGCCCCCUUUCUCGACCCUUCCCCCGAUCCCUGGCUCGGAGCUUCGCGGUCUCUUCCAUGGCGUCUCCUCCCUCCUCGAAGAAGGUAUCCUCCUACCCCCCCACAAAUCUCUCCUCUCCCUUCUCCGGGUCCUCUCUAGCCUCUAAUGGGUUUGUCGGAUUCGAGUAGGUGCUGGUCCCGAUCGCGAACGGGACGGAGCCGAUGGAGGCGGUGAUCAUCAUCGACGUGCUCCGCCGCUCCGGCGCCGACGUCACCGUCGCCUCCGUCGAGAAGGACCUCCGCGUCGACGCGUGCUGGGGCGUCAAGCUCGUCGCCGACGCCCUCGUCGCCGAUUGCGCCGGCUCGGCUUUCGAUCUCAUCUCGCUUCCCGUGCGUGUCGAUUCGGGGUUUUGGAAGAGGUUUUUGUGAUCUUUUUAAGCGAUUUUUCGUCUGAUCGGGGUAGGAUUUUGGAUGCAGGGAGGGAUGCCGGGGGCGGCGAAUCUUCGGGAUUGUGGUGUGUUGGAGAGUAUGGUGAAGAAGCACGCCGAGAACGGCGGGCUCUAUUCUGCGAUAUGUGCGGCGCCGGCCGUGGCCCUGGGAUCAUGGGGCCUGCUCAAGGGCUUAAAGGUGGAAGUUUUAAUCACUUUUUUAUGUUUCCAGUUACUUAUUAGUUUCCAUCGAAAAUGAAGAUCCAGUUAUCGGAACUUCAAUUCAGUUUUUACUAUUAUAUUCUAUCUUAACUGCAGUUUACUUAAAAAUCAGUUUUCUUGUCAAUAGUUUUAUAUAUUUGCAUGAUGUAUUGAUAAUAUAAACAAUAAUUGGCGCAGCGUUAAUCAAGGUCCUCUUCUUGCAACAGGCAACUUGUUAUCCUUCUUUCAUGGAUAAGUUUCCUUCGGACACUGUUGCGGUGGAAUCAAGAGUACAAGUGGAUGGCAAAGCUGUGACAAGCCGUGGAGCAGGAACUGCCAUGGAGUUCUCUCUUGUUUUGAUUGAGCAUCUGUAUGGGAAAGAUAAAGCAGCUGAAGUUGCAGGACCUCUGGUAAAACUUGCCUUCUACUUUUGUAUGCUUAUCAUCAUUGUAAUUGACGUUUAAUCUAGUUUAGGUUAUUGAAUGUGGAAAAUUUUUAUACCAACUUAAAAAUCAAUAUGAGAAUUGAUUUUUGGUUGUUAAAUUUGUCAAUAGUUUUAAAGUUGCAUGGUAUGUUAUUUUAUAGGAAAUCUUUGGAAAGAAAAUUUGUAGUGAAAAUUCUAUUGUUGCGUUUUUUUUUUUAAUUCUGCAUUGCCUUUUCCUCCUAGCAUGGAGUGAAAUUUGACUCGCUUUGUUGAGCUGCGUUAGAAUGGGUUUGAUUGAUAAGCAAUCUUAGUGGUGAGGAAAAGUUAUGAUAGUUGACUUAUAAAUGCAAUGCAAUAACUUGGCUCUAGUUCAAUUGUGCCAUUCUUCAUGAUAACUCUCAUUUUUUAGUUCUUAAUAUGGAGCAAUCAUAUGCAUGUAAGAUCUGAAAAAACUUUGCAUUGACAAAUCUGCAACACAGAACAAAGAAGAACUUUAUUAAUUUCUUACAAUGAAUGUCUUUUCAGGUUAUGCGCCCUCAUCAUGGAGUUGAGUUCGCCAUGAAAGAGCUGAACCGUGUGGAAUGGAAAUUUAAUGGAACACCUAAUGUAAGUUGUGAAAAUCUCCUUCUGCCUUUCAAAUUAUGUUUUCCUUUUCCUCUUUAAGAAUUUUUUGUUGUUUUCUUUUCCGUUUGUGGAUUGAUCUUUUCCCUGCACACACUUGGCAGAAAAGCUUUAUUCAUCUGUUUGGAUGUUUCAUCUUGUCGAUCAUUAGUUUAUAUACUGCCUGCAUCCAAAUUCAGUCCAUCUUCCACUUUUCUCUUAGCUCCAAGAGUUACGAUACUUACUAUUCUACACUAAUUUCAUGUUAGGCUGCUGUUCAUUUGAAGCUCAAAACUAUGCUGUGAGUUUACUGUAAUAUUCAUUCCUUCAUUUUUGGAGUUUGAAAGCUAGUCUGUUGUUUGAAAGACAUAAAUCAUAUUUGUUAGAUAUGUCUCAAAUUCUUAAGCUGCAAAGGUUUUCCAACUCUAUUCUGGUUUGGUUGACCCAUUUAGUUAAAUUAGGAAUAAUCCUAAGUUUAUUAGAUUUUAUUCCUAGUUGCACUGGGAUUUAGUGACUGAUGUAACUGUACCUUUUAUUUUGUGGAUUUGGUGCUGUGGAUGAGAAAGAGCAUGGUUGUUCUGAGGGCUAGGGUUUUUCGGAAAGACUAAUGAGGCAGCUUUUAUAUUUUACUUUUGAUAAAAAUAAAAUUGUCUGCUCCGCCUUCAUUCGUGCACGUAGGCCAAUUGCGGAAUCACGUAAAUUAUUUGUGCACUUCAUUUUUCUUCUCUCUUCCUAAUGCUUUUUCGGUAUUUUUACACCCCAUGAUUUUUGGCUUUUGUUUACCUAGUACCCUUAAAGAUAAACGCAUUAUUAUUGUUCUUUCCGUAAAAUAUUUGUUGAAUUUUCAUUAAUCUGGAAGUUUUUAUUCCGUUGAAGCACCCCCGAUGAUCACUCUUCACCUCUGAGUUGGUUAUUCUGGUUUAGCUUGCAAUGAUACACUGCUUUAAUUCACAUUAUGGCAUUAUGCUCUCCCUGUUUUUCAGAUCCUUGUGCCAAUUGCUAAUGGCUCAGAGGAGAUGGAAGCUGUUAUGAUCAUCGACAUUCUGCGGCGAGCAAAAGCUAAUGUUACAGUUGCAUCAGUCGAAGACAAGUUAGAAAUUGUGGCAUCCAGGAAAGUGAAAAUAGUCGCUGAUACACUGUUGCAUGAUGCUAGUAAGCAGCAAUAUGACCUUAUUGUCUUGCCGGUAAGUUUUUUAGUCAUCAUUUUCAACUUUAACCUACUUCUAUGCAAUAUUAUAUACCGGAAUAUUUCACCCUGUCCAUUUCUCAUUCGCAGGGUGGUCUCGGUGGUGCUAAAGCCUUUGCAAAUUCAGAGACACUUAUCAAUUUGCUCAAAAAGCAGGCCGGAUCAAACAAGCUUUACGGGGCUAUAUGUGCUUCCCCAGCUAUAGCCCUCGAGCCCCAUGGCUUGCUUAAGGUAACAGCUUCUAGCAUAAGCUGCAGAAAUCCUGGCUAUUUAUGAAACACAGUUUCCCACUUUUUUUAAAUUUCGGCAUCAUGUCCUACUUAAUAGGGUAAGAAAGCGACAGCAUUUCCACCCAUGUGCGACAAACUCUCCGAUCAGAGCGAGUGCGAGAAUAGGGUCGUGGUUGAUGGGAACUUGAUUACGAGUAGAGGUCCGGGGACUGCAAUGGAGUUCUCUCUGGUCAUUGUUGAGAAGUUCUUUGGCCGGGAAAAAGCACUCGACCUCGCCAGGAGUCUGGUGUUCAUGUGAUUCACCAGUAGAAGAUACAGCUGCUGAGAAAUUGCUUUGUCUGAAUCAGGCUUUUCUCCUUGUCUUUGAAGAGAGCUUGUAAAUCUUUUCUCCAUCUAUGCAUGAUGCAUCUCCCGCGCGUCCGCGUCAUCUUUGGUAUGAUGAUGGUUGCUUUGUACUUAUAAGGUGAGAAAUUUGACCUGGCCUGUUUGAGUGCUCUAGUAAUCUUUAAAUAAAUAAUACUCACCGGUGUUUGGUUGAGCUGCGAUUGUGAAUAUAAUGCACUUAAGUACUACUGCAAUUCAGGGUAAUUGUAAAUGCUGUUCAACUGUCGUGCCACAUUUACAUCUACACUUGUUGAACGGAACUUAUAAUGGUCAGGGUACUCUCGGAGAACUUUAAAAUUGUCCAACAAGAAUGGAGAGAAAUGUCACUUAUAUGCCCGAAAAUUGGUUGUCAUUUUACACCUAAUCCGUUCAAGAAUUCUGGUAAUUUUUUAGUAUUAGAAAAAUAGGGAGAUGAUAAAUCUAUCUGCUUCGUGCUAAUAUAUUAGACCACUCUGAUAGCUUUUAUCCACCAAAAAUAUAAAAAAUAACCACGAAAAUUACUUAGCACGUACGAAUCUUUCACGGGGCAUCAACACCUUUUGUCCUUUUAGCUGGGUGCAGCGAAAGAGCUUUUAUUUUUCUUCUUGAUCUCUUUCGUCGGUGGGUUCACAUCGUACAGCGAACCAAGUAAAUUAAUACACGCACGUAACAUAAAUAGAUAGAUACUGAGAAGUUAGCCUAGGGGAAGUACAGGAGAUUUGUCAGAAAUGAUUCAAGGUGCCGAGGAGAAGCCGUAGUCGUCAUGUUUCAGAGGCAAAUUCUUUAUUUAUUUAUUUUUUUAGCAGGCUACUCGCGUUCAUUUAUUUUUGAAAAAAUAAACUUAAUUAAAGAUAUGAAGUAAUAAGACUUCAAAAUUUAAAACCACAGACACUAACAAUCCAACUCUUAUCCAAGCAUUAUCGAAGUAUUAUUAUAAGCAAAUAGUCGUGAAGAAAAUUUCGUAUACGAACAAGCUUAUUUCGCAGUUUCAUUACUGUGAACAAUUGAAUCACAAUUAAAACUUUUCAAAGCACAAAACACACGCAAUUCUGGUAACAUAGUCUCCUCAGCACUGAUAUCAAAGAACUAAAAUUUUGGUUCGAGCUCCACGAGAACAAAAUAUACAUAUAAUGUACAUGAGUAUGGCUACUAUACUCUUAUGAGUACGAUUAUCUUCGUAUUCAUAAAUUAUUUUUUAUGAUAGAGCUUUCGAAUCGACGAUCUAUACCGUUAAACAUUAUCUAGAGCAUUUAAAACUUCUAGAAAUCAAAUUUUUUGAUUUUUCGACAUUAUUUACCGUAUGAUCAAAAUAUCACAAAAUUGAUAAUUUUUAACGGCCGGUAUGAGAUACUUGCUAGUUUAACGGUAUAAAAGAAUUGAAAUAGUUUGAAUUUUUGAUAGAAAAUUUUAUUCACUACCUAGAUAAAGAUCAAUAAUUCUGAUCUUAAAUUGAAGGAUUCGAUCAUCCAUUUUUAAAACAUUGUUUGAUUUUGACCGUUCAUUUUAUACCCGUUUGAUGGGCUUUAUUAUGAUUUCGAAAAAUUACGGAAUUUAUUUUUUAGAAGUUUCAAAUGCUUUAGAUUAUAUUUAACGGAGUGGAUCGUCGAUUCGGAAGCUCCAUCAUCGAAACAUCUUAUGAGUACGAAGACUCUAUACUUGUAAGAGUACUACUCUCAUGUACACUACUACAAUAAUUGAUGAGAAGUACAAAACGCAUCAUAUAACUCAUCCAGAAAAGGCUCCUCGGCCUUCGCCGCGGGCCAUUCACCGCGGCAUCCUUGCGUGCAGCCCUCUUCCCCGGCAUAGCCGAACCGGGGGCCUCUGCACGCCCGCGGCCUCUGGGGCACCACCCGUGGGGCCCCCACCGCCACUGCCGUCUGAUCCCUCCCGGUCAGCCGCUGCACGACGGCCUUGAAGUCGGCCAGGUCCGUCUGCACAAACUGCGUCUCGAUCACCGUCACCUUGAUCUCCCUCGCAUUCGAAUUUCCGCUCCAAGACAUUUUAUUUUGUCUUGCAAGCUAGGCAGCAGCGAGGUAUUUAUACAUAUAUAGAGAAAAUCAAAAGAGGGCGGGGUUUGAACAUUCUUCAGGAGGGGUUGGCGCGACGCAGUGGUCAAAAUGGGGAGGGGGCGAGCCAAAAAGGACUUUUGGCGCGUCAAAACUCGUGGGAAUGGGACGUGAUCGAGACACAAUAAUAGAUCCACAAGGGCUUAACGGUUGGUUGAGGAUUCGAAGCUGCUUCCUAUGAAUCUUAUCCCACCACAUGCUUCUAAGCUUUUUGAUUGACUAAAGUCGCGCGGCUCGUACAGUGUCGGCCAGUAACCGCUGCUAUCAAAAAAACUGUUUUCCGGCUGUUUCCAGAGAAAGUUUACUGCAUCAUAUUUGCAUCAUAUUAUCGAUAACAAAUUAAUUAUACUUUUUUUAAAUAAAAAUAUUUUUUAAUAAUUAUUAUGGGAUGAGUGAUUUAAAUAAAUAUAAUCUUAUUGGUUGGAGAUAUCUCGUCAGCAAUAUAACUAAUGCAUUUUAGAUUUUUUUUUUUUAUUUGGGAAGUGGGGGGCUGAGGAGAUGUUUAUAAAUUAACUUUUCUGGAACUUUGUCAUUUAAUUUUAUGAAUUGGUUUCAUCAACUUUAAUUUUAUUUUUUUUGUUAAUGUUUGAAACUAAAAAAAAGUUGACUUAAUUUUAGAAGGAAGGAUUAAUAAUUAUAGGAUUUCUCGAUUUAUAUAUUAAUGAGAGAGAGAAAUCAUUGCUUGUACCUCUGUGUGGAUUGAAUUUUCUGUAGACUAUUCACUAGAGGAAAUCCGUGCUCUCAACUAAUGCAAACUGUGUCUGCUUAAUUUAUAUAUUUGUUUAGUAUCUGUUUAUUUUUGAUAAUUUGAUGUGCCAUUGUAAGUAGUAUCUUAUUAAUAAAUAAACAGUAAAUAUAAUGAUUGGAUGGGAAUCAAGAUGCUUCAAAUUAAAAUUAAUCAAUUUUUAUCUUAAUUUAAAUUCUAAAAAUAUUUAAAAAUUUUACAAAUUAAAGGGGAAGGGCCUUUCGUAUCCACUCCGCUUCGUUGCUAGCUAUUCAGUUUUUACGCUCGAAGUUCAAACACGGGCAAUGCAUGCAUGUGCUAUAUACUCUUGUACAAAUCCAUUCAUACUCCCAAAACGAAAAAGAAAAAGAAAAGUAACAAUUCAAAAAACACAUGAACAUAGGUAAAUUCGAGCUUAUAUUAUAUAUAUAUAUAUGUCAAACAUGAGUCAAAAGUUUAGACCAAGUAAUUAAUCUCUUCAACAUAUGCGUCAAACAUGGGUCAACAGUUUAGACCAGUACGUCUCUGGGUGAUUCAAUUCAACGUACGUGUAGCAAUCACAGCUUACCACAAACACAAUUGGACGUACGAGACAUCAAGUACUACGUGCAUCAAAGCAACGAAAAGUAGUUUUAAUUUGUGGUGCAUCGAGUGUCCGUUGAAUCAACUAUUUUCUUACAUUUACUUUAAUCCAGUGUCAUAAAAAAGUUUAAAAAAAUAAAAAUAAAUUGAAGCUUAGGAAAUAUGCAGUGCUUUUCAAUUGUCUCAAAAUUUUAUCUGCAAUUUCGAUCACAUGCAUAAUCAAACAGGCACACUGAGUUAUCCUGAUUAAUUAUCACUUAAAAAUGAAAAGAUACUAAUUAAAAAAACUUUUUUUUUUCCUACUCUGUGCGUGCUGCGAGUCAUCAAAUCUAAAAUUUUAUGUUGAAAUCCAAGAUCUGAAAAAUAAAAGAUAUAAUUGCUAAAACGUUACAUUUUGAUGUUCAAUCGAUUCUUCAGAGAGAGAAGACGAAGAAGAAGAACAACAACAACAACAAAGGAAAAAAAAAAAAGAAAGAAAGAAAAAGAAAUACUUGUUCAAUAUUGGUGCAUCUGAAACCACCACACCGAGAGCUAGCUAGCUUUCUAAUACAAAAUAUAUGAUAUCACUUCAUAAAAAAACAAAAAAUGUUUGUGACACAAUGAAAUGCCUCCUCGGAUCUCAAAUUCUCAAUCACAAAUGAUUUCUGCGAAGCUGCCUCUAUGGAUUUUUCCUUUCUCUUCAGGAAGUAGAAGUUAGGUAAAAAAUUUCAGGGUCCGUAGUAUUCCACGACAAAAAUAUUGCAAUUUAUCCUUGUCGAAGGGGCUGAAAAUUCUAGGCUUUGCUGACAUCAAUAUAUUCUAGAUAUUUUAGAAAUUUUUGUUGCUUUCGAACCACGCUGACCUUCUCUAACUAUCACCACUGUCAAGGACACAUAAGGUUCAAGUUACAUCAUGAUCAUUAAAAUGACAAUGCAGUUAAUUUAAUGACUGCUUUUACGCGAAGCAAUCAUUUAUUUGCCGUGUUAAUCGAGGACUGAAUCACGAUGAUGUUUAAUACUUGGACACGAAGCAAGGAAUCACGUUCGCCUGUGAUAUUACGAAAGUUCUUAGUAAUUUAAUUAAUCAGCCCUACUGUUGGAUUAACAGUUCUGGCAUUAAUUCUAGGUUUUCCGUAAAAUCUAGAUUUGAAUUUUUCACUGAUUUUUGCUUCAGCAAAAGGGCAAACAAUAUAGAGCAACUAGCUAGGCUAGUUAGUUGAAUUGCUACUCUGCGUACGUUCUAUGUGGCAACACACUAUUGUUAAUUUCAUGUAUAUAGAUGCUAAGUGAUAAAACCCCCAAUGUCUCGCAUGCAUAUGGUUUCACUUAUCUAAUCCAGCCAUAAAUUGAAGUUUCUUAAUUACAAUUUGCCGAAACCUACAAACUUUGUCUAAAAUGUAAUACAAACUAUGAAAAAAACCAAUUGUGUCGAAGAAUAGGGCAUGCGACGUGGUUAUAUAUGAAGGUAUAUCAUCAACUAUUAAUUGGAGCAAUAAGAAAUUAAAUCUAAAUGCUGUUAAAACUUAAAACCAAAUAAUUAGAGGAGCCACAAACUCGAUCUACCUUGUGACAAAUAGCUAUUGACCCAUAAGAUAUAACCAUAGUAGCAUUCAAACUGUUGAGAAUUUUCCUAAUUAAUUUAUAAGACAAUAUUAGGAGAAAGAGGUAGUGAUAAAUGGUUGCACACAGUGCAAAAGAGAACUUUGGUUUCUUUGACAUAUUAUUGUCCUUGUGCAUGUCACACUAUAUAUCUUGUACCUAACAUGGUGCAUGCACGAAAUAUUAUACGUGGAUGUUGAUAUAUACUAUAUUUUGGGAGAUCGAGGACAUCCUGAGUAAUUUUUGUAGAUGAUUAGGGAGAGUUUGGGAAACUUAAUUACCUUUCAAUCUUUUUAGAGGCAUAGAAGAGACAGAGCACAGAAAAGUAGGCGAAGAAGAAGGGAGCUCAAAUCUCCAAACUUCUAUUCUUAUUCCACUCCCUUCGCUCUUCGAGGCUACAAAAUAUUAAAAGCUUUUUUGACUAUUUGUGAGGUUCAAUUGUAAACAUUGCAGGUUGUAAGAACCUAAUUGUUGAGACUCCACAUACAUUAAUUGGUUAAUUGGGAAGUAAUAAAUAGCUAAGCAAACUCAAGAGUACUUACACUUUCCUUUGUUAUAAUUAAUUAAUUAAGGUCACUAACUAGGUCCUUAUAGCUCUAAAAUGGAGGGGUUUAAUUCGGAUUUCGUAAAACACAAUUAGGGAUAUUUUGAACUAGGAGAUAGAGUUGAUGGAGAUUCAUUGGCAUUGAUUUAUUUUCAAUUUUUGCAUUGCACUUUUUUUCUUUUUUUUUCUUUCAUUAGAUUUUAGGCUCUACAGUAAAUGCUAUAUAUACACUUGUCUGUUCUUUGAAAAUUUUAGGCGAAAAUAAUCUUUUCCUUUAUUUAGUAUUUACAAUGCAUCACUGACUGUCCCUAAUGCAUGCCGGUGAUAAAAGAAAUUAUAUUUUUUUGAAAAGAAAAUAUUGAACGAAACGGUAAUAUGCUAUCAUUCUUUUAAACAAGAAAAAAUAUUUAAAAUGCAUCUACAACCUGUUGUUGAAUGAAUAUAUACAAAGCAUUAAAUUAUCGUUUUUAAAAUAUUUUAAAAUUUUUAAAUAGUCAAAUGUUUGAAGUUCCAAGUGCCAAGCGGGUUUACAAUCUACUAACGCGGCCCAGCGAUUAAUUGUCAACACAUGCUAAUUCCCAAUCUCAAGAAUAUAUUAAUUGUACAAUAGUAACAGCAAUUACCUUUGAACUAUAUAUUGAAGGCACGCGGAUUCUGCAUAUAUAGGUGCACAUAUACGUAUUGCGUCCUCCGUUGCGUAUUAUACGUAUUGCGUCCUCCGUUUCAAAUCUAUUAAUAUAUAUACAUAAAUAUAUAUACUUAUUGGACUGCAUGUGUAUAUAAAUCAAACAGAAUUUUCUAUAUGAUUAAUAUUAAUACAUGCAUUAACUAAUAAUAUAUAUGACCGAUCGUACACACACGUUAUAGAAAUCGUGUAUAUUUCUCUCUCUAUCUCUAUGCAUCCGAGCAAUUAAAUUAAAUUAAAGGUCCCUUGUUGGUGUUUGAUAUUGGUUGAGGAGAGAGAGAGAGAGAAAGGGGAGGGGGAGAUAGCGUGAGAAUCCCUUCGGUGGUGAGUAAUUAAUAAUAAAUUAUUAAUUAAUUAAUGCAAAUUGUUUGAGCGCGCCGAGGCGGCCUCGAAGGCGGGGAAGCGGAGGAGUGCUGUUGCCGAAUCCUCACCACGUGCGUGCGACCCUAUUUUAUUUCUACGGCUGACUUUUUUUCUUUUCUUUUUUUUUCUUUUAUAUAUAUAUUAUAUACGUUAUAUAUUAGAGUGAGGCUAAAAACUUGUUCUGAAGACGGAGCUUCCGUGCUCUCAUGGUCGUUGUUGUGUUGUGAUUCCGAAUCUCGAUCGGGCUCCGUUAGAUUUUAUCUAGAUAUUUGAGAGUACUAGAAUAUUUUGUAUUUUUAUAUUCAUUUGCUGGUGGAAGUAAGGCUCAAGUCACGGUGAAUAAAAUUUAAACUGAUAAUAUGCAUUAAAUUUUUAGAUCAAGAUAUUGUCGGUGUUUUAUAUAGCAUAAGAAUUUUCUAUCAAUUCACGGGGAUUUUGUUGAUAUGUUCUAUUACGUUUAAAACUGCAAAGCGGCUCACCACGGUCAUGUAAUUAUUGUUUUGAGUGCCCUUCGAUCACAUAGGCAAGAUUUCGAAAAAUCAUAUAUUUUUAAUUUCAAUUCAUUAGAUCAGUUUAACGGAACCGAAUCGACGGAUGUCGAAGGUCGCCAACCGAAAUGAUUGGAGCACGGAGCUCCGUGCUUCAGAAGCAUGUAUCCUCUUAUAGGUAUAUACUCAAUAUUAUACUAAAUUUAUUAUAUAGUCUUUUCUUAGUUUUGGAUAUUAUACUCUUAUAAACAUGAUUAUCUUCAUAUUUAUAAGUUAUUUUGAAAAUAAAGCUUCUAAAUUGACGAUCUAUACCGCGAAACAGUGUCUAGAACACUGGAAAUUUUUAUAAAAUUAAAUUUUAUAAUUUUUCGGCAUCAUUUAUCUUACGAUCAAAAAAUCUCAAAGUUAAUAAUUUUUAACAGCCGGCAUAAGAUAGUUGCUCGUUUAAUGGUGUAGAAUAAUCAAAAUUUGUUGAAUUUGUGAUGAAAAAUUCUAUUCACUGUCUGGAUGAAGAUCAAUAAUUUCAAUCUUAAAUUAAAGAAUCCGAUUCCCUAAUUUUAGGAGGUCGUUCGUUUUUUACGGUUCAUUUUAUGCUUGCUUGAUGAAUUUUAUAAUAAUUUUAAAAAAAUUAAUUAUAAAUUUUGGUUUCUAGGAGUUUAAAUACUUUAAAUCAUAUUUAACAGUAUGGAUUGUUGAUUCGCAAGCUCCAUCAUCCAAAACAAUUUAUAAGGACAAAAUUUUAUACUCAUAAAAGUAUAAUAACCCUACUAUCUCUCUCUCUCUCUCUCUCUCUCUCUCUCUCUCCUCUCUCUUAUAUAUAUAUAUAUAUAGCCCGGCUGGAAUACUAUCGAUAGCACCAAGAUUGUGCUAUCGAGUUUUCCACCGUUAAAUUUAACCCUUAUUAUUUUUAUCCGUAGAUUCUUAUAUUAUUUCAACUAAUCACUCACUCAAAUCCUAGAAGGCCACAUCAUCCUAACACAACAUUUCUCAAUCAAGGGUUAAAAAACUAAUAGCACAAUAAUUUUGUGCUAUUGAUAGUAUUCCAGCCUUAAUUAUUAUAUAUAUAUAUAUAUAUUAUAUAAUUAUAUUAUUAUAUAUAUAUAUAUAUAUAUAUAUAUAUAUAUAUAUAUAAUAUAUUAUCUUUCUUGUCUCCUUUUUACCCCUCUUGCCUUAUUAGUGGAUUCCUAUUUUUGUUCAUUUUUUCACUUCUUUUUCUUUUAACUAUAUUCGUAUUACUGUUUCUCCAGUUUUUAUAUAAGUUUUGGGAUAUACACCAAUCAAGAGCCUUGCUUAUAGUACUGGAGAAUUACUAUAAGAAAGGCCCUUGCUCUAGCCAGAGCUACCACAUAUUAAUUAUUGCACUCCAUUAAAAAUUCUUAUCUUAUAGAAAAUUACAAGAUUGAUUAUUUUCUUAACAUUAAUUAUUUCGACAUGAGGUUAUUAUAGGGACGGACAAUAGUAUCUCAUAUUCAGCACCCUCCUCACAUAUGGACUAGUUUAACAUUGUGUAAUAAUCAAUUACUCUAAAUAAUUAAACUGUUAAAAAAUGAUAUUUUAAUUUAUAUUAAUUGUAUAUUCCAAACAGCAUUGUGGUCUAGUUCUUUUACGAAAAUUCACCAACUUUAUCUUUUUUAUAUCAUAACUACUAAGUGUAGGUGUGAGCUAUUAAAGCUAAUUUUAUGAGAUGAUUUUAUUAUUUAGUUUCUAAAAUAAUGCAAUUGAUGAUGAUGAUGAUGAUUGGUUAAUUUACCUGAUAAUUAAUAUACUAUUAAUUCGAACUCUACUAUUAAUGUAAUUGAUAAAUUAAGCUACUAAUUGACAACACUUUGCAUGAUUUGGAGGACAGGGACAUAAAUAUAUAGGGGCAAAAUGGAACACAUCUUCUUUUUUUUUUUUAAAUAAUAAACAGUAAUUAAAAUUGACUGGAACUUAACUAGAUGGCUAGUGAUGUUUACGCAAGUGGGUACAUUGGAAAUUUUCAUAGAUACUUACUAGUAGGAGAAUAUAAAAUUAAAACAAUGCCCAAUCAACUUGAUUCAUAGUUAGAAGAACUAAUUAAUUAAUAAAAAAAUUGAAUAAAAAAAACAAACCUUGCAGGGAAUAGAAGAGGAAUAGAGAUGGGGUAUGGGAAUAUGGAAUGAGGGGGCUUUUAAUUCCCUCAUUCCCUCUGACUCCUUGAGCCCUCACAUGAAAAGUUUAGGGCGCGCACUGAAUAUGAUUGAUCAAUUUAUUUGAUUCCCUUCAUAUAUAUAUAUAUAUAUUUUUUUUUUGCCUUGGCAGGUAUAGGGACAUCUCCUUACUCCUUAUGAGGCGAUUUUCAGGCAGGUUCCCUAUUCAAAAGACAACUCCCCUUCUUCUCUUUGGACUCUCCAUAACACUCCAAAAUCCAUGCACUCUUAAUGUAGCCCUACAAUAAUACUAUUAAUUAUAUAUAUAUAUAUAUACACACAUAAUUAGGCCUUUAUGCUUCUGCUUUUAGCAACAAAUUUUUUCUAUAGUUUUUUUUUUUAAAAAAAAUGUAGAGCUAGCUCUNCUAUAGUUUUUUUUUAAAAAAAAAAUGUAGAGCUAGCUCUAAAGAAAAAUAAAGUUACGAGCCUGAUUUGUGUGCCGCUAAUUAAUUUCGCUUUAGAGAGGAACUGUUUUAGUAUUUUAAUAAUAAAAUUAUUCAGAUAACACUUCAUCAAAUAACAUUAUACUGUAUAGUAUGACCAAACAAGUCUUAGCCACAAUAUAUUACAGCUAUCUCAUUCUUGCUUUUAUUAUUAGCAUUAUUUUUAUAUUGAUUGGGUUGUUGUUCUUAGUGUGUACCAAUAGUAUCUCAACCCUAGCUUCUCUCCCUUUUAACCCAUCUUCUUGUACAUCAAGCUAGCAGGUUCCUUUGCCUUUUGGCUUCUCUUGGUUGUAUUUUGCUGCUGCUUCUGAGAAGCGAGAGAGCCCCUUCCUCUAGUCUCUUCUGGUUCCAGGGUUUGUGUUCCUUCUUAAUUAGUUCUUUGUAGUUUGCUGAUCACCAAGUUUUAUGUGGAGAUCAAGAACGUUAUAAGUAAAUAAUUAUCCUACAAAUUAAGCUUAAAUGCACCUACAUAUGCUUCUAUCUCCAUUUAGACACUAUCUACAUCAUUCUCAGAGAUACUUUGUGUCUUUCCUUUACGUUUCUUUCACUACCAACAUGCUCGACUUCUCAGAUCUUAGAGCAAGCAAGCAUGCAUCCGUGCAACGGAACAGUAACGGUGCCGCCGGGAUUCCGUUUUCACCCGACGGAUGAGGAGCUCCUUCACUAUUAUCUGAGGAAGAAGGUGGCCUUUGAAGCUAUCGAUCUCGACGUCAUACGUGUUAUUGAUCUCAACAAGCUUGAGCCUUGGGAUCUCAAAGGUUAGAUUAUGUGUUCCUGGUUUCUCCUCUUUUAAUUAGAGGCACUUUUGCUGUGUAUUCAAUCUCCCUAUUUUUAUUUUUAUUUUUCCUUUUGAGUGAAUUAUACUGAACACUAGAUAUGCCUUUCGAAAAAGUAUAUUGAACACUUGAGGAGGUGUAAAGGUUGGAUCCAAAUGGACAGGUUCCCAAUUCUCCUAUUAGUUACCUACAAAUGAAAGAGUAGUAAUCUGAAUUCUAGGGCUAAUUUGUUAUCCUUCAUAUAGAAAAACCUUUUUUUUGAUAAUUUUAUAAAGAACUAAACCUACUUCCCAGGGUUUGUUGAUGAGCUUGAACUCUACUGCAUAUUAAUCUCUAAAAAUUCCUUCAUGUGAUUUACGCUGAUAAAGAUCCGACCCCCGUGCAGAUAAGUGUAGAAUUGGUACGGGACCUCAAAAUGAAUGGUACUUCUUCAGCCACAAGGACAAGAAAUAUCCGACGGGAACGCGGACCAACCGAGCAACCACCGCUGGAUUUUGGAAGGCCACGGGGCGGGACAAAGCUAUCCACCUCGGUGACUCGAAGAGAAUCGGCAUGAGAAAGACCCUAGUCUUCUACACAGGGAGAGCCCCUCACGGCCAGAAGACCGACUGGAUCAUGCAUGAGUACCGCCUCGACGAUGAAAGCACGGAGGUCCUGGUAUGCAACCAUAGCUGUUUGUAGCUUUAAUUCCUCUUCUUUUUUUUUUACCCUUUUCCUUAGUGAGGUUUUUUUUUUCUUUCUUCCUUAAUACCUUUUCUUUUGCAAGUUGAUGAUUAAGAACACUGUGAGAGAACAAAUGUUAGUUUUCUAGAGCUUAUUCUUCGUGUAAAAUUAAAAUAAGGGGUUGAUUGGUUCUUAUAAAUUCAAUGGCCAAAGUUAUUUUAUACCAUUAGUUACCGAUAAUCACCAUUCCAAAAUAAGAAACCCUAAAUCAUGUAUAAGGCAUGACAGUAUAACCUUAGCUACAAUAUGGUGCAAUAUAUAAUGGCCUAUUACAUGAUACUCUAGUUUACACUGUGAACAUGUCUCUUUGGUCUAAUGUAUGAAGCAUUAUUAGCAACAUCACUUCAAGAAUCUUCUUAUAAGCUAUUAUAGAUUUCUUUCUUCUAUUUUUGAAGAAUUUCUUAAGGAUAUAGAUUUACAUGCAUCAAGCAUGAUACAUACUAAAGAAAAGUGACCUUCUCCUUUUUGCAAUACAGGAAGAAGGAUGGGUGGUAUGUAGGGUAUUCAAGAAGAAGAACCAUCAAAGAGGCAUCCCCCCCGAAGCGAUGCUCGAAGACGAUGAACCAAAUCUCUCGCGACCAACAAGGUCCGCGCUACUCGAUCCGAAACACAACUUCAACAUGCCGUCCGACUUCACCUUUGACGCCUCGAUGCAUCUCCCGCAACUUCUGAGCUCCGAAUCCUCGCCACUCCCGUCUUUCAUGCCUCAACAAGUCUCCAUGAACUCACUAGACAUCGAGUGCUCUCACAACCUAAUGAAGCUCACAAAUGGCGGGGCAAGUAACAGCCAUCAUCAUCUUCUUCCACAAGAGAGGUUCAACAAUGGGGAUUGGUCUAGAUUAGACAAGCUCCUAGCUUCACACCAACAGUUGGAUCAGCUCUUUAAUGGGAAGCUCAAUACUCCACCAUCUCAUCAACUGAUCAUGGAGAUGGGCUCAUCAAUGGAGAGGUUCCCUUUGCACUCUCUUGUGUGCGAGAAUGAUAACAUCAUGAAGUUCCCUAAGUAAGGUUAUUAACUACUUGAUGUUUACUUAUCUUGUUUGAGUAGGUUUCUUUAUAAUGUUUAGAGGUUAAUUUGAAGGUUUUAAAUGUAUAUAUAAGUGUUUCGUAUGUUUGGACCAUUAUCAUUUUCCAGUGGUUUGAACAAGAGAUUUUUAUUUUUUUUCUCCCUUCUGUUUGCUUUCCUUUGGUUUAUUAGUGAAACUGUUGGUGUUCUAUUAUUUCAUGAGUUUGCUUUUGUACUCACAAAAAUUGCCCAUGUUUUUUUUUUUUUUUUCUAGUGCGCAUGCGGUCCCAAAUGAUGGUAAAAAAUUCGGCACUCUCCAGUACAAAAUUUAUUGCGAUCAUUUUGGAAAAAUAAAUUGUUACCACGAGUACACAAAUAGAAAUGACACCGAGAGGCAUGAAGUAAACAAACUACAAAAUAAUAAAAGAAAAUAAAACACAUGAACUUACAUAGAAAAUUUUUUGCAGGAAAAAAAAAUGAUGAACGAAGGAAAAAAUUUCACCACAUAAAAUAAAAAAAAAUACAAGUUCUGCAUAUUACAAUACGCCAUAACGCCUCUAGGACAAAAGAAAAAAGAAAAUGACCCAUUUACUAUUUAACGAGUUUCUUUAAUAUCGGCCCGAACUCUCCGUUUUCAUUAUAAAUAUCUCUUUUUUUUUCCACAAAUCGUUUUUUCUUUUUUUUGAGAGAACAAAUCGUUUUUUCAAAAUUUAUCAUACUGUGAAGCUGCUGAAAUAACUAGGAAUAAAAAAUCAAACUCGAUAACUAAAUUUCAAGACACAUCUAACAUAAAUAAAAUAAAAAGUGAGAGACAUGUUAGCAUAUAAUUAGCCAUCAAGCACCAAAGUAGGUUACAAAAGGAUGACAAUAGCCAAGGAAAUAUAAUCCCUCACCUUAAUCAUUAUUCUAUGUCAUUAGAGUACUUUUCUUUUUCUUUUUCUUUUUUUUGCAGUAAAUUGAAGUACCCACUCUCCAUAUAUUGGAAUAACUUUGCCCAUUAAAAAAAAAAGGAAAAAAAGGUCCUACAGAAGUUCCUUGUAUGACGAAUUUUUCUUAGUUUUCUUUGAUUAUUACAAAUUAGUAUUCAAUCCAUUAAGUACAGAUGUUCUUCUCGUAAAUUGAACAAACUAUUCAACUAAAAUUUCCAUCUCAACAUAUUAGUUUUCAAUCGUUCUAUUCUCUCUCUAGAAAAUUUAAAAAAAACAGAUAAAUUUUUUUUAAAAAAAAAUAGAGUAGGAAAUUAUAGUAGUAAACGGCCUAUUCUUUGUUACCAGGCCUCGUAAAUGGGCCAAGCUAUGGGCCAAGGCUCAACAAUUUGUGAGCACUAUUAACAUAAACUUCUCUAUAUAGAAUACGGCUGCUAUACCAUCAGUGUACCAAGAUCUUGGUACUAUCGAGUUUUCUGCCAUUAGAUUUAUCCUUUGAUCAUUCCCAUCUGUUAGAUUAUACUAUUCAACCAAUCACCCACUUAAUCCUAGGAGACCACUGUCAUCCUAACCGCACAUCUUUUUAUCUAAUGACCAAAUAUUAUAUAGUACCAAGCGCUUGGUACUAUAUAAUUGAGUUCCUAUACUUUUAAAAGUACCGACUAUAUUUGUAGGUUUUUGGCCCUUGAAUUAAGAGAUGCACGGUUAUAAUGAUAGUAGUCCCCUGAGAUUGAGUGGAUGGUUGGUUAAAUAGUAUAAUCUAACGAGUAGAAAUGAUCAAAGAGGUAACUCUAACGAUGAAAAAUUUACUAACACCAAGUACUCGGUGCUUUUAAUUUCUCCAAAAUUAUGUUUAGUACAAAUGAAAAUUGACCCCUCAACUAUAUGCCCUACCGGAUGGAGCCCCAAGGCGACUCCAUGUCGACGAAGAAUUCUUUUUUUUUUUUCAACCCUCAAAAAUGAAAUGAUGAUAUUUUAUUCAUAACAGCAUUGCACACCAUUUCCGUGUACGGGUGUGCCUGUUCAAAUGCAUUAUAAUACUGGGCCUUAAUUGGAUUCUUGUCCAUUAGCAUCAAAUUCGGCCCAAUUGGGAACCAGGUAUGGGCCCCCACCGAACACAACAUUUUGUCUGGCCCUACCGGUCAACGGUACGUGCUUCCAGUCAAUGUUCCGAGCCCUAAUUUUUGUCGGGUUGUUGCCCUACACAACAUCCCAUCCCGUUAAUCCUUCCGUAGACCCGGUCCACGGUUUUGCAUCCCAGGUUUUUUUUCUCUCUUUUUUUUUUUUUAACAAACAUGAUUAUAAUAUUGAAUAAUGAAUGAUCUCCCUGGAGAUUCUUCUGUGAUUUGGCUUGUGUUUUUUAGUAAUGAUUCAAAGAAAUUUUAAUUUGUCUCUCAUGCUAUGUCGGAAGAAUACACUGUAUGUAACUUGUUUACUAACUAAUCAAAGAGAGCUCUAAAAAUUAAACAAAAAAAGAUGAAGUGUCAUUCUCCAAUUAUUUUUUGUUUUUUGCGCGAUUUUCUAGUUAUGCUUUUAAUUUCAGUCGUUUUCAAUAAGCUAUUUAACAAAAAAAAAUUAUUGUUUUUUUGUCGAAAUGAUCUUUCAAGUUCUAGAUGAGGUAGUCUGAUUUUAAACAUCUGAUGCAGAGAGAAAUUAUUGAAUAUUUUCAUGAUUUGUUUUCGAUAGUGCUCUAACAAUAAAAUCAUCGAAUGACACUAUAUUUUAUAGUGAGAUUAAAUAGAUUAUUGUUUUUUUUUUUUUUUUGAGAAAGAGGUAGCAACAAAUUAUUGUUAAUACCUCAAAUUAUGGGUCGUGGGCACGGAAAACUGUGACCACCUCUUCGACAACUGUGUUUUUGUCAAAUACCUACUUUAUAGCGCACAUGGCUCGGAAUCACUUUUACAUCCUUUGGAUGUUCGAGACCUCUGGCAUACGGCCACUAGCGUCUCCGACAAGCUUAAAUGGGUAAAAUGUCUGACUUCGUUGUCUGCCACUUGGUGGAUGGUUUGGACCGAGCGGAACAAUACUAUUGGAUAAAAUUCAUUUUCAGGGAGGAGCUAGCCUCUCCCUCCUACUCUCUUGAACAUGUCAGUCUCCUAUGAAACUCGUGGGAUGAGCCCGCUGAUCGACGCUCCCCUCUCGCCGGACCAGGCCUUCGGCCCCCUCUCCUUCCUCUCUCUUUCAUCCAGAAUCAUCGGCUACUGUCUUUUUUCAUUUUCAGCUUUUCUAUUUUUUCUAUUUUUUCGAAAGCCUCUAUUGCUUCCAUAUGCCUAUUUCAUUUCGCCUAAUAAAUGAAGCAGGUAGCUUGCUAUCUAUUUUUUCAAAAAAAAUACCGCAAAUUAAGUCCUUGUGUAAUUGUGUGGUUAAUUCAAUUUUUUUUUUGCGCCGUUGCAUGAGCUAUUCUUUCGAAAAUCCGACGUUCUUAAUUAGAGAAAUGCACCAUGUCCAUCGAAGUGAGCCACAUCUUGUCAAGCAAUAAAUACGUCUAACUACCUUAAUUAACGUGCAUUGUACUGAUCCAAUAGAGACUGACACGUGCAUAGAGAUAUAUAAAA
Molecule: long non-coding RNA, 50384 nt
Filed under: Ananas comosus (pineapple)
Lineage: Eukaryota; Viridiplantae; Streptophyta; Magnoliopsida; Poales; Bromeliaceae
Description: long non-coding RNA (ACOM_LNC008228)
Source: RNAcentral